This 68263-nucleotide long non-coding RNA is filed under the name Populus tremula. Its description in RNAcentral is "long non-coding RNA (PTRE_LNC001463)". Lineage: Eukaryota; Viridiplantae; Streptophyta; Magnoliopsida; Malpighiales; Salicaceae. The record is from RNAcentral.
AUGGUUACAUUAAAAACCUUGAGCAAUGAAGGAAUCCUGGUCUGGCAGCAGUUGAUCCCACUGCAGCUAGCCAUCGUGCUAUCACUGUUUUUGUCACAAAUUGACAUACACCCACCAAUAGUAGAUUGAUUUUGGUUCAUCAAGGCAAAAUUGCCACAAGGCCCUGCAAUGAAGUAAUUCUCGGAGGAGAAAACAAACGGGCUUCCUUCCAAGUCAACAACUGUGUUUCUAUCUUUGCCACCACAAUUUGCAAAAACAAUUGGAAACAUGACCUCAAUCGUACUGCGACUAACUGAGAUGUAACUCACCUCCAGAUCAGUGCCGUUUACUCUAAGUUUAGGAAGUACUCCACUACUGGAGUUGCAGAGUAUUUUGAACCUUUCGUCUAGGUAACAUCCUUUUUCCUGUCCAAAGGGAAAUAGAAUAUCAAUGCCUCCACAAGAAGAUUCACAAUCACGCAAUGGCAUCAUAACCUGUGAUUCUGCAGUACGCAAUGACCAGAACAACAGGAUGACCUGAAAUACUGUUAACUCAACAGCUGCCAUAUCCUUUUUCUUCUUCUUUCAGACAGAGUAGCUUUUUAGAAGAGAGAAGCUAUAAAACGGGCUCUUACUUGGCAAGCAACCCAGCCAUAUGUUAAGUUAUACAAAAUCCUCUUCUUCUUUCAACUUAUUCUUUCUUUCUUUGUUUUUUCCUUUCGCCUUCCAUGAGUAGAAAGUUCAAAACCAAAGUCUUUAGAACCACACAAAGAAUUAAGCAGCCAGACUUGACCGAGUCAGUCAAUUACACUAUUAAUUAACAGAUACUCUAACACACUUAGGUUUUUUUUCUUCUUUUUAUUCGCUUUUAUUUCUUCAUUUUUUUUACAUGUUUUUUUUUUACCCAAAAUUGACUUCUUCUUCUUUUUCUUUUUUAAUUUUUUUUUUCAAAAUUAUCUUUGCUAAUAUUUUUAAAUAUUGAGCUGUUUGAAAAAUUAACUAUGUAGCUUUUUUCUUUAAACUAUUGUGGAUUGCUAUAAUAUUCUAAUACAUUGUUUUUUUUUUUAUAUAAUUCUUUCCAUACAUAGUUUUUGCUUUACUGCAAUGUUUCCCCAUAUAUUUUUUUAAAAAAUUAUCUUUAUUGAAUUUAUUUUUUCAAUAUUAAGCUGGUUGAUAAUCUAUCUUUAGCUUUCCCCACAUGUUUUUUUUAUUUUUUAUAUUUGUUUUUACCCAAAAUUUACUUCUUUUUUUUUAAAUAGUCUUUGUUGGUUUUUUUUUAUAUAUUGAGCUAGUUGAGAACUUAGCUUUGUAGUUUUUUUCAAAAAAAAAAAAAAAACACUAUGGAUUACUACAGUGUUUUUCUUACAUGGUUUUUGUUUGGCUGCAAUGUUUCCCUCACAUGUUUUUUUUUUUAAAAUUAUCUUUGUUGAAUUUAUUUUUUUAAUAUUGAGUUGGUUGAGAAUUUAGCUUUAGCUUUUCCCACUUUUUUUUUUUUUUUUGAAUUUUUCUCAAAAUUGUCUUUCUUCUUUAUAUUUUAUUUUUCUUUUUUCAUAAUUAUUUUUUUUGAUUUUAUUUUUUUACUAUUAAGCUGAUUGAGAAUUUAGUUUUUUUAAUUUUUUUCUUUAAAACACUAGAUUGCUACAGUAUUUCUCUACAUGGUUUUUUAUUAAAUAAGUUUUUUUCAGAAUUAUGUUUGUCGAAUUUAUUUUUUUCAUAUUAAGCUGAUUGAGAAUUUAGCUUUGUAGUUAUUUAAAACAUAGUAGAUUGCUACAGUGUUUUUCCAUAUGAUUUUUGCCUUGCUAUAGCGUUUCCUCACAUGUUUUAUUUAUCGAUAUUUUUUUUCCAAAUAUGUUUUUGUCAAAUUUAUUAUUUUCAUAUCGAGCCGGUUGACAAUUUAGCUUUUUUUUCUUAAAACAUUGUAAAUUGCUAAAGUGUUUUCCCAUAUGAUUUUUUUAGUUAUGUUUUUUUUUUUUGAAUUGUCUUUGUCGUUUUUAUUGUUUUUAAUAAUGAGCUGGUUAAAAAUUAUUACUGUAGAUUUUCUCAUGAAACACUAUAGAUUGUUAUAGUAAUCAAAUUAAAAAAUUACACAAUAUAUAUAUAUAUACUAGCCAUGAUACCAACACUAUGCUGCGGGUGUUAAAAUUUGCAAUAUUUUUUUUUGCACAUGUUAUAUAGGAAUAUGUAGCAUAUUCAUAAAGUUAGUUGCAAAAGUUAAGUGGAGAUAGUUAAAUUCAAGCGUAACAAAAGCAUCUAGAGGUAAUACUUUAUGCUUUAUACAUAUAGAUAUAGAAUUAGACGCUAAUGAGCGGCAAGUUGUAUUAACAACGCAGAUGAUGAAGACGUCGAAUGAGGUUGCGAUGUUGGAUAAGAAAGCAUUGAUUAACUGAACGUUAAUCGUUUUCCUAUUGUAAAAAAUAAGUGUAAUGGUAAGUUAUAAAUUAUGCAAAGCGAUAAAUAUUAAAUGUUUUUAAAGAUAAAUCAGAAAUGAGAAAUAAAGAUGUAAUUGUUGUUGAGCAUGUGAGUUCACAAAGAAAGGAAAGUAAUUAGAAGUAGAUGCUUACCUUUUCAGGUGAUGAAAUGGAGAGGUGCUGCUUCUUUGAAAGUUGUGGUGCAGGAUUGUCAUCAUUUUUGUAGACAUGUUCCUUUGAUGAGUCUGCAAAAUCUUUCAAGGGUCUUGGAUGGGGAAGUUGGGUGCUGAAUCAUAUAUUGAAAGGAAGUACGUAAGGAAUGGCAAGUGUAAACAAUAUGAAGAAUCAAGUAAUAAUUUUCAUGGGAAUGAAUGUAGAUGAAUUAUGAGAUAGUGGUGUGUGGCAGGUUAAUAUCUUGAAAUCAAAAAAUAAGAAUAAAAAUAAUGAUACAGUUUAAAAGGAUUCAAUGGGAUGAAUAUUAUAUUAGGGAAUGCAUAUUAGUUUGGUAGGUACCAAAACAUCACUCUCUGGCCAUUGUGAUACCAAAAUAAUAUAUUAAGAAUGAAAAGGAAGACUAUUUAUAAAGUUGUAGAUCAGCCAAGGAAUAAUUGUUAAAGGAAUGCAUAUGACGGAAAUGAGAUAUUGGCUUCGGCUGGUGUGUUAUCUUUGCACUGGGAAAUAAGAAAUCAAGAUUUAUGAUGGUUGAAGCACCAUCGCGCAGGGUCAUAAAUUGUUGGUACAAUACAUGAAUUAUUUGUUAUGUGCGGGGAAGCAAAACAAACAUGUCGUGUGGCUCAGCAUCAUUAAAGGUUAGUGCUCUUUUUGACUGGCGAUGGUAGCUGUGAUGAAACGUGUCUUUUUGUGGAGAGGUGUGUUGCUGUGAAGCUGGAGUGUGAAUUUGAGAUUGAUCUACAUCCAGGGAUCUGCAAGGUUCGGUGUUGGAGGGGUGAAAGUCAUGGAACUUCCAGCAGCAGAGGUUAUUGAGGUUGUUGUGUCAACAUCUUUAAUGGGGCUAGCUGGGCUAACAGAUGCUUCAGUUGGAAAUCGAAGAUGUUGCAAACAUAUAUUUCACAUCUGCUGAGAAGAGAUUUGUAUGCUCCAAAUCGAAGCUGAAAUAUUUUUGUUUUGUUUAAUUUCUCAAUCAUUUGAGGUGGAACAAUGAAUGGGUCAGUGAAUUUUUUAUCGAACACCAAAUGAUGAGCUGAAGCAUUGAAAAAAUACUCAGCUGUCUUGCCAGAGAGAAGAAAGUUGGUGACAUCUUGACCAUCACUAACGAUGCAAUUAAUUCUGAACCUAAAAGAUAUGAAAAAGAGCUUCGGUUAAUAACGAAAUAAAAGCAUGGGUUAAUAUAUGUUUCAGUUGAAAACGCAAUGAUGUUUUGGUAUGUAUAUUAGUUGAACCAAGGGACUGGUGCAGAGGUUGGAUAGUCAUGCUCCAUGCAUCAUAAACUAUUAAAGAGUUCAGAGAGUGGCUUGUUGCAAUCUGGACAGCUUUGACACCACCAUCCCUUGAAGAGAUCAUAAUCAACUAUGAAAGCUUUACAUGUAAAUCUUUCAUUCUGCAGGUGUCAAUUAAAGUAGAAAGUCAUAUAAUUUUUUUGAUAAAAACGAAGGUGAUGCAGUGUUGAUGAUUGUUAACAGUAGUGUAAUUAUAACAAUAGCAUUUACCUGUAAUAUUAGGAAAUUGAAUGAAUAGAAACCACUUGCCAGAACAAUAACGAAGAAAGCUUCUUCUCGCAGCAGAGUCCCGAGAAGAAGCUUUUCCGGCUUUUGUCCUAAGCAAUAAAUCAACAAUAUGCGGCAAGCAGCUAAUUUCCAUAUGCAAGAUGGCACUAAGUCAUUUAUAAGCAAAUUUGAAUUCUAGCACCAGAAACGGACAAUUUGAAUUCUGAUAAUCACUCACCCACCCACCCAUCCUCUUAGAGCUACUUGUUACGGCGUUGAAACUUGAAAGGCUUUUAAUUUUACAAAAGCUUCCCUGUAAUUUUCAGCCCCCAUUUCCCAUCCUUAUUAUCAUAUGGUUGAACAGACACACUUAUAUAUGAACUUUAAAUUUUGAAUUAAAUAAUUAACCAUAUGCGCUUUCUCUUUAUACGGCUGUUCCAAAAAAGAUAAUGUAAUUGCAAAAACAUUAAGAUUUAUAUAGCAAGUUUUGAGUUUAAACCACAACAUGUAUUUUUUAUAAAAUUCUAAGAUAGCUAGAAUUUUACUUACUCAUUUCAAUUUAUAAAAUACAUUUUUUAAGAAAUGACGUUUAAUCAGAACCAAAAAAUAAAGUAAUAGUAUGGGAAUUUUAAGACUUAAUUAAUCUUUCUCAAGGACAAAAUCAAUACUGCAAUUGAUAUAUUAAACUUUUUCAUCACAUGAAUUAGGAAAUGCUGUCUUUGAGUUAACGAACAAAACAUGCAACUCUUUGAUUCGACAAAGCUUGGUCUCUUUUCCAUUCUUUCAAACUCGUCCUCUUUAAUGUAUUCAGGUGCUAGUUUUCAAACAAGCAGUAUUUAAUAUAAUAAAUAUUGUUUUGAGCCUUUUCAUGACAAAAAGUCUGUUGAAUAUUAUUUCGAAAAAGAUUCAUUUUUCAUAUUUUUUAUUUUUAUUUUUUUAAGAAGACAAAAAAUUAAACAGUACAUAUCAUUGAAUAUUGAUGAUAUUUUAUUCAAGUUACACCUAUGAACCAUGGGAAACUCUUGCACCAUUUUGUUUUUUUUAAGUGCAAGAGCAAUUUUUUUAAUUUUAAAAUAUUUUUUGAUGUUUUAAAAUUAUUUUUUUAUAUUAAUGUUAAAAAUAAAAAAAUAUAUAUAUUUUUAAAUAAAUAUUUUAAAAAAUAAAUCUAAAUAGGCUCUCCAAUCAUUUGAGCGAAAGAUUAAAACUAUAAGUAUUUUGUCUAAUAUUCUAUACACUCCGCAUUAAAAAUAGGAAAGGAAAAAAAGGGGCUAGGGGAAUCUUUUGAAAUAUAUGUCAAAAAAGAGAGAAUCAAAGGCCACAGUUGAAGGGGCUCCUAUAAAGCCAUCCUAUACAGCAAGCAGUUUUGUUUUGUUUGCAAUAAGCAAUAUUUAAAAAUAACAUAAUAGAUACCUUGUGUUCAAAUGGGUCCAUACAGAGGAUCUCUCUUAUUGUUCUCCUAUUUUCAUUUAUUUGAGUUUGCAAUGAUAUAUAGAACAACUCCUGAUGAUGGAGGCAACUGGUGCAAGUCAACAGGCAGUUGAGCAUAGCUACGUAAAGAUAAAGAAAAAGGUGUUGAGAAUUAAUUUAAACAUUAAUAUAUAAAUUGGAUUUUAACAAAUGUAAAAGGUUCGAAGAAUAUAGAAAUUUUACUAAUGUUUGUAUGCUAAUAACUCUGGUAUGUCCGGGUUAAAAUACCAAAGUGAAGCUGCGGUGCCAAUUAGAUUUGCAGAUCCUACAAAAAAUGUAAUAAAUACAUAUUUACUGGUGUAUAUUUAAUGUCAAGAGGUUAUGAAACCUGAACUGAAAAGCUAAUAAAACUGAAUGAUGGCAGCCUUGAUCAUAGAACGAAGAAUACCUCUAAAUUCAGAGACACGAAAACCAGCAAAAGCAAUGAUAACUGAAGAAUUCCUAUUAUGCCAAAGAAGCGUCACCAAAGCUUCGAGCAAUGUCACCCCAUAAAGUAAUACGAAGCUCAUCGCCACUAAAUAAAAUAAAAGCAUAUUAUAGUAAUGCUAGCAGGAAUUCAAUAUAAUAAAUAAAUUUAAUUUAUCAUUAACCGUAUAUUUUCAAUGAUGAACUCUCUUUUGUCUUCAAGUGUUUGCCCUCGAACCAAAAAUUUUUCGAUUGGUUGUAUUGCUUUCAGCCUACCAAGAACAUCUAUAUAAAUAAUUGAAUAAUUGUGUUAGUGUAAUGAAAAAACUACGUAUGAUACAGUUGGGUAGAUAAGGUUAAGAAUGAAGAAUACCUGUGAGAAGUCUUGAUCCUUUUUCUUUGUUAAGGACAUGUGCAAAAUUCGUGAAAUUAAAGUAAUAUCGUGGAAUCGAAAGUGGGAGAGAAUUGAGGCGAGUUUCUUUGGUGUUAGACUUAAGAUCAAUAACAGCUUCAUGGCCAACAACAACAUUCAUGUAUCGAUUUUCAAAGGUGUAGAAGUUUUUGACUUCAUAAUAUUCACCUUUAGUAAUGAUUGAAGAAAAAUGUGCAGCAUCUCUAGAUUUGGCUGAUCCUUGUAUUGCACCACCCUUGUUCAUCAAAAUAAGGUAAAUAAUUGGUGUCAAUGCAUAAUGGUAAGGUUAAAAUAUACAGAAUGAUGGAUGAGAAGAAAAAGUAAUCUUGAGCAUGGUAAAAUUAUAGCCUCUGGUUUUGAGGUCUGAUUGAUAAAAUCAUUUUGUGUCAUUCAUGUAGGGAUAUGUUAUUCUUAAGAAUUUGUUUUGUUAAUGCAGACAAUAAGGGGUGGUUGUUUUUGGCUAUAAUAUUAGAAAAAAUUGAAGAGGUUUUUCGUAUUGCACUAUGUUCUAUCUGUAAAUUUAGUUGAAUGGGUUAGUUGUAUAAUUGUGGUCCUAUAAGAAUUUCAAACUAUUAUUGUUAAUGAAUGAAUUAUUCUUAGCAUCUGUACAUAGGUAUGGUUAGUUUAUUAAGUUUGAAAAGACUAUAGAAAUAAUAAAAGUAUUUGUGUGGCAAAUAAGGGAUUGAUUAUAUUCCUUAAAUAUAUCCAAAAAAAAAGAAAAGAAUGCAAGCAGAGGCAAGAAUUUGAAGAAAACAAUAAUAAAGGUCAUAUUAGCAGAUAUGUUGCAUACCUCACGAUCAACAAACAGACAAUUGAAGUUUGUUGGUUGUCCAUUUUGUUUCGAAACCCAAACACGACAUACCUGAGCUCGGAUUAAAGGGUAGAAAACAUAUUUUUUAAUGUUGUGCAAAUGAAUAGCCAUUAUUCUGCAUAAAAAAAAGAGUAAAAAAUCAACAAAUAAGUGAAUAAUUAAAGAUGAGAUUAAAAUAUAAAGACAACAGUAGAUGCAAAUGGAAGUUAGAUAUGAAAAUAUAAAGAUAAUAUGGCAGAAAAGUGUCAUCAAAAAAGUAUAAAUCCUAUUUAAUUGCAUGAAGUUGAGAAUAAUGGAAUGUGUUAGGUUGUGCCUUAGCCAACCUUCCUAUUUAUAUAGAGGCAGUAGAACACUGCAGUAACUGUAAUGAUUACAACAUCCUAUAUUAGAAUCCUAUUCUGAUAGAUACAUGAGUAACUGUAAUGAUUACAACAUCCUAUAUUAGAAUCCUAUUCUAUAAUAUGCCCCCUCAAGCUGAGGGUGGGGGAUCAACCCGAAGCUUGAAUCGAAAAGUAGUAAAGGAUGCAACAGGAAGCGGUUUAGUGAAGACAUCGGCAAGUUGAUCUCGAGAGGGAAUAAAACGAAUCUGAAUUUCUUUCUUAGCAACACGGUCUCGGACAAAGUGAUAAUCCACUUCAACAUGCUUAGUACGAGCAUGGAAGAUAGGAUUUGCUGAGAGAUAGGUAGCACCAAGAUUAUCACACCAAAUGGUAGGGGCAAAGACUGAGGGAACCUGCAAAUCUGUUAACAAGUAUUGAAGCCAAAUGACUUCAGCGGUACCAUCAGCAAGGGCUUUAUACUCAGCCUCAGUAGAGGAGCGAGCAACAGUGCGUUGCUUGCCGGAUUUCCAAGAAAUCGGCGUCUGACCAAAAAAGACAAGAUAGCCGCCCGUAGACUUGCGAUCAUCAAUACUACCAGCCCAAUCUGCAUCUGUAAAGCCAUGUAGAGCAAAAGAGGAGCCUCGAGUGAUAUGGAAACCAUAAGAUGUCGUACCUUUAAGAUAGUUUUUGACAGCGGCCCAAUGAGAAUCUGUAGGAGCAUGCAUAAACUGACAGACUCUGUUAACAGCAAAGCAUAUAUCUGGACGGGUGAAGGUAAGAUAUUGAAGAGCACCCACGAUUUGACGAAAUCGUGUAGGAUCAGAGAAUGAAUGAUCCGGUAAUAAAAUGACUUUCGAAGGGGAGACUGGAGUAUCAACUGGUUUGCAGGAAGUCAUACCAGCUCGGGUGAGGAUGUCAAGAAUAUAUUUAUGUUGACGCAGCAUUAAACCCAUACUGGUAGACUGAACUUCAAUACCCAGAAAGUAGUGAACAACACCUAAGUCACGAAGCUUGAACUCAGAGCUGAGUAACUGUAUAAGGUGAUGGAGCAUAGCAGAGUUGCUACCGUGAGCAGAAUAUCAUCAACAUACACCAGGAGAUAAAAGAUAUUAGUACCAUCAGAUAAGAUAAACAGGGAGGUGUCAACCUUGGAAGCUCGGAAACCGAUGGAGAGCAAAAAAUCACUUAGACGAGUGUACCAUGCUCUCGGUGCCUGUUUCAAACCAUACAAUGAUUUGUGCAAUCUGCACACAUGAGAUGGAAGAGAAGAGUCAACGAAACCUGGAGGUUGUUUCAUGUAGACCUCUUCAGUAAGAACACCAUUGAGGAAGGCAUUAUGAAUAUCAAGCUGAUGAAUCUUCCAAUUUCGCGAAACCGCGAUAGAGAAAACCAAUCGGACAGUGGCCUGCUUAAUAACUGGACUGAAGGUUUCAGAAUAAUCAAUACCUUCCUGCUGGGUAAAACCUCUAGCAACAAGCGCGCUUUAUAGCGCUCAAUACUACCAUCAACACGACGUUUGAUCCGAUAUACCCAUCUACUGCCAACAACGUUCAUCGAAGGAUGAAAUGGAACCAAAGACCAAGUGCGAUUUUCGCGUAAAGCGGCGAUCUCAUCACACAUAGCAUUAUGCCAAACUGCAUACCGGUCAGCAUCAGAGAAUGCAAAAGGCUCAGAAGAGGUACAGUACCCGUGUGGAGGUAGAAGUAGCGGCAGCGGAAGCAACCAGAUUAGCUGUCUUCGGCUGCCGCGGUCUAAGAGUCAUAGGAUGUCUGCUGUGCUGGUGGAGACGCAGGGGAAGACGGUUGUAGCGAGGAGACCUGUGGCAGCUGAUAAGAAGACAAAUCAACCAUAAGUUGCAGACCAGCGGGAGAGGAUGAUAAAGAAGCAGCCUCAAGCACAGGACUGUCAGCAGAGGAGGGGCUGGAAGUAGAGACUGAAGCUGCAGGAGUGCUGGCCAGGGGGGCGAAGCAGAGGAGGGACUAGAAAGUGCCCCAAGACCAUGAGGAGAGGAGACCAAUUGACGAUCUGAACCUGCAUCAUAAGGGUUAGAUAAACAAGCAUGGGAUGAUGGCCAAGGGAUGGGUGGAGGCUGUGGUCGGGUGGCUGUUUGGAGUGGCAAAGCGGAGUGUUGUGGGCUGUUUGGGUGGCUAGUGAAAGUGGGUGUGGGUGGUUUAGCAAAUUUGGGAGGGUGACAGUAGCGGGUGGGGUGGGGUUGUGGUGGAGACCUUUGCAAUCUGUUCAGAAUUAUCAAAUGGAAACACAUGUUCAUGGAAGCGGACAUGACGGAAAUAUAAAUACGGUGAGAUGCAAUGUCAAGACAUCGAUAACCAAGAUGCGAGGAACUAUAUCCAAAAAACACACAUGGAGAGGAACGAAAAUCCAAUUUAUGAUUAUUAUAUGGACGCAGAAAAGGAAAACAGAGACACCCAAAGGUACGCAAAAAAUGAUAAUCAGGAGACCGUUGAAAUAAACAAUCAAACGGAGAGCGAUGGGCAAGAAUAGGAGUAGGCAUGCGAUUUAUAAGAUAAACAGAGGUUUCAAAAGCAUAAUUCCAGAAUCGAAAAGGUGCUUUACAUUGCCCUAAAAGAGUAAGACCUGUUUCCACAAUAUGCCUAUGACGACGCUCUACUGUUCCAUUUUGUUCAUGAGUGUGGGGACAAAUCAGACGAUGAUGAAUACCAAUGGUCUGAAAAAAUGUGGAUAGUUUUCGGUAUUCACCGCCCCAAUCAGUUUGAACAGAUUUUAUUUUUAAUGAAAAUUGACGUUCGACAAGAGUCUGAAAUUGAUGAAAAACAGAGUAAACAUCAGACUUGGCAACGAGAGGAUAAUACCAUACAUAUUUAGUAUAAGCAUCAACAAAGAUAACAAAAUAACGAUAGCCAUCUGAAGAAAAAAGAGGAGCAGGGCCCCAUACAUCACUAAAAAUUAAUUCAAGUGGAGCAGAAGUUUUGUGACCGUAGGUCCUAAAGACAAACGCGAUGAUUUUCCUAAAGGACAACUUUGACAUUGAAAAUUAAGACGUUUGUUGUUACAAAUGAUCUUAUUUUUCGAGAUUAACAAUUGAAAAAUACGUGAAGUAGGAUGACCUAGUCGACGAUGCCAUAAAUCGGCAGAGGCAGAAGUGCAGGGAGACCAAUAGGCUUGAGGAACUGACGUGACGAAGACUUGGUCAGGGCAUAGAGACCAUCUUUACUCUGACCUGAGAGAAGGACUUCAUGGGUGUUGAAAUCCUUGACAUAAAACACACGAGGGUGAAAUUCAAAAUAAACAUUAUUAUCAAGACAAAAUUUCUGAACAGAGAGAGAGGUUUUGUGAUUGCAGGAACAUGAAGAACAUUAGAUAAGGUGAAAGAACGAUGUGGUGUAUAUAUUUUUGUAUGACCAAGAUGAGAUAUAGGAAGGCCCUUACCAUCACCAACAUGCAAAUUAUCAUUACCAAGAUACGGUUCUGAAGCGGUCAAGGUGGCAAGAUCAGGUGUGACGUGUUGAUUGGCACCGGUAUCUGGAAACCAAUCAACAGAACCGGUUGAGGAGAGAUUGCGCUGCACCAGGUUGGCAGUAGGUUGUUGGCCAUAACCUCGCUGCUGGAAUUGAGGGCAAUGGGGAGCUGUAUGGCCGAAAUUCUGACACAGUUGGCAGCGUGGAUUCUGCCCCUAUUGCGCUGCCAAGAGCCCUGCCUAUUGUCACCGAAGGAGGAGUUUUGGAAGCUGCGGUGAUCAGGUCUGGAGCCAGCAAAUCGGUUGCCUCUGCUGUUGGACUGGUUGGGACGCCAGCCACCGUUGAAGCGGCCCUACGCCAGAAUUGCCAAAAGUCUGGCGCUGCAACAAGAGCAGAAGAUGGAAUGCUGGGUGUGGGCAGCAGAGGAGCAUGUAUGGCAGCAGAAGAUUUGUGAAGAAAUUCAUGUGUGAGGAGAUGGCUGUGAAGAUCUGCAUAUGAUAAAGGUUCAGCCUUGGUAAUAAGACUGGUAACUAAGUCUUUAAACUCUCCCCGAAGACCACGAAACACAUAUAAAUUGAAAUCUUCAAGCGAAACUGGCCGACCAGCAGCGGCCAAUUCAUCAAAUAAGGCCUUCGCUUUUUGCAUAAAUUGAGUUACUGAUUCAUCACCCUGUCGAAGAUCCUGAAGAGAGCCGUGAAGUUGCAUAAUACGAGAGUUGGAGGUGGAAGCGAGAGCUCGCUCAAGAGUGCCCCAAGCUGAACAAGAACUUUGACAGCCAACAACAAGAUGCAAAACUUCCAUAGAUAGGGAGGAAAGAAGAGCACUUAGAAUGAGUUGGUCCUGUUGUUUCCAGGUUUGAAAAAGCGGAUUUACCUGAAGAGAGAUACCAUCAUGGGCAAGAACAUGUGUUGAUGGACAUGUGUUGGAGCCAUCAACAAAACCAAAAACUCCUUGGCCUAGGAGAUAAGGCAGCAUCUGCAUACGCCAAUAUAAAUAAUUGGUGUUUGUUAAUUUGAGGGAGAUGACUUGAUGAGUGUGAGAAAGGGAGAUAAUGCUUGCGGCAGUAGAGGCAGCAGACGUGGGCUGCAAGAGGAGGCGUUCACCAGCCAUGGCAGAGGAGAAUCCAGGCGGUGACGCAGUAGAGGAAAGCAGAGGAGGCGCUGCAAGAGAAGAGGGUUGCACUGUCGGAGAAGAAGAAAGCUGGACUGCUGGUGCUGCAGAAUUUGAAGAUGUAUGUGGCGGCUGUUCCAUUGAAGAAGGGAGGUUGGGAGGCUAUGAGAAAAUUAGGUUUAAUUUAUUUUAGGGUUUUGUGGCUCUGAUACCAAGUUGAGAAUAAUGGAAUGUGUUAGGUUGUGCCUUAGCCAACCUUCCUAUUUAUAUAGAGGCCGUAGAACACUACAGUAACUGUAAUGAUUACAACAUCCUAUAUUAGAAUCCUAUUAUGAUAGAUACAUGAGUAACUGUAAUGAUUACAACAUCCUAUAUUAGAAUCCUAUUCUAUAAUACAUGAAAUGUUAUUUAGAUCAUGAAUACAUGUGUAUGGCAAUUGAUUAUUUUUAUACAUGUAUGGCAGAGGUGAAAUUAAUAGAUGAAAUAAAUUAAUGGUUAGGAAUAACAAAAAUUAAGAAUUACUUUAAUAGAUGUUUUAUACUAUGUUUUGAAACGAUUUGCAUGCCCAUGCAUUAUAGAUAGUAGCAGUAUUUCUCGUAUAAACAUGUUAAAAUAUUGGAGAGAAGGUCGGUUCAAAUUUUAUAUUUGUAGUCGAAUUAUGACCUUAAUCAAUUUGAAAUCAAGUUGAUUUCAAUAAUAACUCUACAUGCACGCUGGAUAGAAAUAUAAAUAAAUUUGUUGAGAUAUUUUAGAGGUGUAGAUAAAAUUAUUACUCAAAUCUUGGAUAAAUCAAUUACAAUAUUUCUAUUUGGAUUAGCAGGUGGCAUAGAUAUCUGAAUUAGCUAACUACAUAUAUAUUAUAUAUAUAUAUAUAUAUAUAGUAUCAUGUAGCAUUCCACCAAUCACACGUAAAAGAAAUAAAGAGAAAGAAAGAGAGAUGGCUGAAGGUGCUUUUAUUCUAGCACGUGGUGGAAAGGAAUACGUUGCAAUGUUAACUUUCACGGUGUUCCUGAGUUGUUUUUUUGCAGCAAUAGGAGGUUUGAUUUUUCGUUAUGAUCGUGGCAUUUCAGGGGCGUAAUAAUGUAGAAUUAAGCAGUUUAUAUUUUAAGAUGCAAUAAUCUUAUCUUGAUUUUUAUGUGUUUCUAAGUAUUUAUUUAUUUUGUAUACUAAUUUUAUGUCUAUGAUGUUUGUUGGUGUUGAAGAAGAAAAAAAAAAUUAACAAUGAUUUGCACUGGUUUUGUUUGUGUUUAGCGUGAAUGAAUAAUUAAUUGUAGGAAUUCGAGGUUAGUUGAUAAGAGGUUCGAAGAUUGGAAUUAGGCUUUUUUCUAUAGUCUUGUGUGGACCUACGAUGCACACUUUGUUCAUGAGAUGUGUUCUAAAUAUAAGUUACGUAAUAAAUUCGUUGUGUAUUAAUAAAUUUUUGCUUUAUUAGUUGUGUGUAUUGAUAGAGAAAAUUGAAGAAUUCAAUCAUUGAUAGUUUGAUUGCCCUGUUAUCUCUGUUUUUUACAAUUCGUGUGUUUAUUAUUUGCUUGCCUUAUAGCUCAACAUAGCAUUCAAAGGACUAUAAUAUUCACCUGAUCAGAUAGUUCUAUGGGGCGCAGCUAUGGUGUUAUGUUCAAGCAAUAUUGCAGCUGUCAAGUAAACUAAAAAAUUAGUCUCGUGAUGGGCACAAAAAAAUCCCCGAUAAGUAAGUUUUUUGGGUCAUUUUUUGAAUUUCUUUUGAAAUUUGUAGUGAUUUCUGCUAAAUGUUUUCUUUUUGUUUAAAACUUGUUAAGGCAUUACUGUCAUUGUUGCAUUUGAGAACAGAAGGAUGUACAUUUAUUUAUAAUGAUUUUGUACUGGAUAUUUAAAUAUUGUGUGCCUUCUCCAUUGAUUGAAUUUUGUUGAGGUUUUUUUAAACUAAUAUCCUGAUCCAAUCAAUUGCGUAAAAUUUUUAAUAUAUGUGAUAAUUACAGUAUGUUGCUGUGAAAAUUUUCAUGGAGCAAGGCUUUCAUGCUGAACGCUUUAAGGAAUUUCUUAGGGAGGUGUGUUUUAUCUAGAAUUGAUUGUGAUGUGCACUAAGCUGAAGAAUUUUUUUGAAACAUCGCUAUUUAUGUUCCUUGGAAUUGUCGCUCAUAAAGUUUGAUUGUGAAGUGGAGAAAUAAAUAUGCUAAGAGUUAUAAGGAAAAGUGGAGAAAUAGAGAAGUGAAACUUGUAUAAUACAGCAGUGAAAAAUAAGUUUACAUGCAGAGGCAUGAAAUAAGACGAAAACAAAAAUAUUGAAUGCAGCUGAUACGGGUGGACCAAACUGGACAAAGAAAGAAAUAUGAAACCAUAUGGGUUAGGAGUUGAUGAAACCAGCACACGCUGCAGAAUCGUAGAAACAAAAAGAAAAGAGAAAAGACAUAAGUUUCUUUUUGAUGAACAUGGCAAUCAUGAAAAGAGGCAUAAAUGAUGCACAACCAAACUGCAGAAUCAGACAUAAAGUCAAAGAUAGUUGAUGUUUAAUGAAAUAAAAUCACUCGUUUGUCAGGUGGCUAAUUCAUGUAAACGUCGAUAUUUAGAGAUUUGUGAUUCUAAUUUUAUUUCUAUACCACUGUUCUUUCAAGCGAUAUUUAGAGAAAGCUUAUGAAGUUUAUGGCUACCAAACUAUAGGUCCAUCAUGGCUACCAAACUGCAGGUAGCGAUAUUGACAAAACAUAUCAAAUUUGCAUUGCAUGGACUAAGGGCUGUGAAGGAAAAAAUACUUACAUGAAAAAACAAAGGUAGGCAGCAAAGUCGUUGAUCCAAAGCAGAAAAAUAAAUAGUAGACGAAGCGAGAGACUACCCUGAAAAAACAUGGAAAAAACUUAUGAAAAAUAUAGGAGCAUGAGAAAUUAUAGUUCGUAUGCAGCAAAAAACAAAAGGUCGAAAAACUUAAAUAUAUUAUAGUUAAAAUGGAAUUAAGUUUGAAUUUUUUUUUUUAUGUUGCAAGAAGACUCAUAGAUGUUCAAGCUUGUGAUUAGAAAAUUUUAACACACAAAAGAUACAACAAUGAAUAAAAAGAUUACCUUUUGGUAAUAAUUGAAUGAUAUCUUUGUAAACAAUGUUUUUGGCAUAACAUGAUGGUUUUCCUUCAUGAUCGAAGGAAAAGAUUUUAAGCCCAUUCUUUGAUGUAACUCUUGAUAAAGCAACAUAUAAUUGACCAUGACUAAAAACUUGUUCUUUCAAGAAGACACCAACAAUCUUAAGUGAUUGUCCUUGGCUUUUAUUAAUAGUCAUAGCAUAGCAAGGCCUAAUAGGAAAUUGUCUUCGUUUGAUUGUGAAGGGGCAUUUUUUAUCAUUAACUGGAAAGACAAUUCGUGGAAUAAAAACUCGAUCUCCAAUGUUAGACCCGGUAAUAAUUUGGGCUUCAAUAAUUUGCUCGGCAAGCUGCGUAACAAUAAGCCUUGUUCCAUUACAUAAACCAGCAGAGGGACUAAGGUUCCGAAGUAACAUAAUCGGUGUGCCAAUUUUCAAAGAAAUACUGUGUUGGGGCACACCAUUUGUCAUAACCCAAUUUUUGACCAUUUUUAUUUUUUAUUAUUUUAUUUAUUGAAAAGGAAAAAAAUUGAUGAAAAAAUAAUAAUAAUGAUGAGAAAACAAGUAAAAUGAAAUAAAUGAAGAAUGAAUUAAUAUUUGGGUUAAUGGAAAAAUGAUUGAAAGUUUUGGGGUUUAAUUAAACUUUGAAAUUAAUUUAAUUAAUCUUGGAGUUAAUUUAUUUAAUCCAAUUAAGGGUUUAAUUGGAGAAUUGAUAAGUUUUGAGAUUUAAUUAAGCUUGAAAUUAAUUUAAUUCAUCCAAUCAAGGAUUUAAUUGGAGAAUUGAUAAGUUUUGAGACUUAAUUAAGCUUGAAAUUAAUUUAAUUCAUCCAAUCAAGGAUUUAAUUGGAGAAUUGAUAAGUUUUGGACUUAAUUGAGCUUGGAAUUAAAUUAUUCAGGGACUUAAUUAAGAAAAUAUCAAAGUUUGGGGUUUGAUUGGGGUUCAAAUUGCAAACAUCAAAAUCCAAGGACCAGCUUGAAAAUGGCGCCGAAAUGCAGGGGUCCAGUUACAAUUUAAACAGGGACUUAAUUACAAAAUUGUCAAAAAUGCAAGGUCGAAAAUGCAAAUAGCAAUUAAACACCAAAAACGACGCCGUUUUCCCUUUGCUGUUCAUCUUCUUCCCGACUGAAACGGACGCACACCGCCGCACAGCCAUUACUCCUGCAGUUAUCACACUUAAUGGUUGGAAGAAAACGCAUUGUUUUCUCUGGCUAUAAAAGCCAUGGAACGACUGAACACCAGGGGCGGAUUUUUUACUGAAAAAAAAAAAAGAAAAGGAGCAGAACCGAGGAGGGAGAAAGAAAGAAAGCCAUGCACGGCAGGGGGAGAGGGGAAGACACAGAAUCAGUUUCAACCAUCUCUUCACCAUCUUCAGCAACUCUUCAGCCUCCAGCAACCCAGACAGGAGAAGAACCCCCAUCGACUUGACUAAGGGAGAACACUGGAAACAAAGAACGGAGCAGAACGAGACAGACAGGGGAGACCGAGAGAAGACCAGGAACCGAAACAAAGAAACACAGAGGACAACACAGAAAAAAAAGGGACGACUGGAGAAGCAAACGCAAACAAAACCAGAGGAAGAAGCUUGAAAAACGAAGAGAGGACCAGCGUCACCACCGACUGCCUCUUCUCCAGCAUCAGCUUCCAAAACCAGAGGAGGAAGCUAAAAAGGAGAGAGGAACGAGCAGCUGACAGAAGGAACACACCGACAGAAGGGAAACGAACGAACACAGGGAUCUUGAGGACCAAGAAAGACUGAAAAAAUCCGGACUGCCAUUUCCAGCACCAGGUAAGUUACGUUUUCCCUUCUUGCAUUUUAAUUACCAGCUCCUACAGCAGGCGUGCGUGAGCUGCUCACGCACGCCUGCUGGUAAAAAAAAAUGGCCAGCCGGGUCAAGCUUGUGACCCGGCUGGGCUGGCUGGGUCUAGCCCAGCCCAUGUGGGCUGCGCUGGGCCCAGCCCCAAAAAAAUAAAAAAUAAAAACAGAAAAAUAAAAAAGGUAGAAAAAUAAAAUAAAAAAUGUGUAUCAUGAAUAAAAAUAAUGUAAAUUUAUUGGUUUAUUCACUGACGCCAGAGUCAGGAAUAAAAAUACCAGUUUAAAUUUAUAUUAUUUUUAUUCGUUGUAUUUUAUUUUAUUUAGCUAGAAAAAUAAAAAAAUAUAUGCAUGCAUAAAAAUAAAUUUAUUUUUAUUUGUUCACUGGUGCUAGAGUAGGAAAUAAAGAAUAUUGAUCUAAUUGUUUAUUAGCUACGAAUUUUUAUCAACGCCAGAGUUGGAAUUAUUCGAGCUCGAAUAUUCACUGACGCCAGAGUCAGGAAUAUUAUAAACAAAUCAUCAUAGCAUAAAUUAAUAAAUAUUUAGCAAUUUAAGACAAAACCAACAAUGCAGUCUGCCUUAGGCAGAACGUUUAAGGGGUGAUAAUAUCUUCCCUUUUACGUAACCAAUCCCGAGCCAUAGAAUCUCUGUUGACCAGUUAGGGUUCCUAGUGACCAUAAUACUAGGUGGCGACUCCUCAAACAAGACAUUUUUUUUUUCUAAAAGAACCGGAUGCCAGAAUCUGUUCUUUUUCCAAAAUCAAGAGAAUUAUAUUUUUAGAGCCGCCGCGAUGUCGGGUGUGACAGAAUGGCGACUCCACUGGGGACUUAGGAUUAAGCUUUGUCUUUUGUCUUAUUAUUGCUAUUUUUUAUUAUUAUUUUUUGUUGUUGUUGUGUUUAUUUGAUUAUUUUUUCCUGCAUUUAUUGCUUUAGCAUGCAUCCUUGUUUAUGUUGUCAUGCAUCACUUUGGGAGCACACACUUUACAACCUAGGAUAAGUGGGGAAGUAACGGUACCCCAAUGGCUUUAGCCUGGGUAAGACUCAUGAAACCAUCCAACUCUCGCUUGAUUGUUUACUUGGAAGUGGUUGAUAUGCCAAACUGAUAUUACUCAGGGCCUCUAUCUUCACACUACUUGUAAGCCUCAUAUCGACCUUUCAUGGACGAUCACUGAGCAUGCGAAAGACCCUUUGAGACUAGAUAAUGACCAACCCCUUGAUGCACUCAAUAAUUAGGAUCUUCCAAUUAGGUUGUCAUCCCGUGAAGGGCAAGUACGCAUUUCAUAUGCAUUUUUUUUAUUUUUUAUUAUUGCUUUAGCAUUUUUGCAUAAUUGCAUGAUUUACAUUUAGCAGGUUGAAAUAUAGGUCCCCCAUUGAAACUCAUUUAUAAUACUCUUUCGAGAAAAAGACAAAUGAAAAAUGAAGAAAGAGCCCAGUUGGAAGCCCAACAUCAAAAAGAGGUGGACAAUCUUAAGGAAGAAGUCGCAAGGCUUACUAGUCUACUCGAGCAGGCCUUGAGAGAUAAAUCCGGAAAAGAAACACUUAUAGCUCAGCCUGGAUAUAUGCAUGUAACUCAUUUCGAUCCACAGAAUCUGGGGGCAAAUAGGGAGUCAUCUGAAUUUCAACAAGCUAUGCAUUUCCAGCCAGCAUACCCUUCAAGAAUUUCAUCUACCACUGAUUCCACCGAGAAAGAAUCUCAAAAGGGCAAGAUGGUGAAAGAAGAGGAUUUGGAAAAAUGGACUACCCUAGAGAAGAGGAUAAGGGCAGUUGAGGGAAACCAUUUGUGUGACCUGGUGAAAGCUGUCAAUAUGUGUUUGGUGCCCAACGUUGUCAUUCCCAAAAAGUUUAGAGUGCCAGAAUUUGUCAAAUAUACGGGAACUCAAUGCCCUAUAACUCAUCUUAAAGCAUAUUGCAACAAAAUGGCUGAGGUGUUUGAUGAUGAGAAACUGCUGAUUCAUUUUUUUUCAGACAGCUUGAGUGACGCUGCCCUCACUUGGUAUAUGUGGUUGGACAAUACCAAGGUUAAAAAAUGGAAGGACUUAGUUGAUGCCUUCAUGAGGCAAUAUAAGUUCAAUAUAGACGUGGGUCCUGAUCGGUUAAGCUUGCAAGCUAUGGAGAAGAACAACAAGGAGUCCAUAAGAGAAUAAAAACAGAAAAAUAAAAAAUAAAAACAGAAACAGAAAAAUAAAAAAGGUAGAAAAAUAAAAUAAAAAAUGUGUAUCAUGAAUAAAAAUAAUGUAAAUUUAUUGGUUUAUUCACUGACGCCAGAGUCAGGAAUAAAAAUACCAGUUUAAAUUUAUAUUAUUUUUAUUCGUUGUAUUUUAUUUUAUUUAGCUAGAAAAAUAAAAAAAAUAUGCAUGCAUAAAAAUAAAUUUAUUUUUAUUUGUUCACUGGUGCUAGAGUAGGAAAUAAAGAAUAUUGAUCUAAUUGUUUAUUAGCUACGAAUUUUUAUCAACGCCAGAGUUGGAAUUAUUCGAGCUCGAAUAUUCACUGACGCAGAGUCAGGAAUAUUAUAAACAAAUCAUCAUAGCAUAAAUUAAUAAAUAUUUAGCAAUUUAAGACAAAACCAACAAUGCAGUCUGCCUUAGGCAGAACGUUUAAGGGGUGAUAAUAUCUUCCCUUUUACGUAACCAAUCCCGAGCCAUAGAAUCUCUGUUAACCAGUUAGGGUUCCUAGUGACCAUAAUACUAGGUGGCGACUCCUCAAACAAGACAUUUUUUUUUUCUAAAAGAACCGGAUGCCAGAAUCUGUUCUUUUUCCAAAAUCAAGAGAAUUAUAUUUUUAGAGUCGCCGCGAUGUCGGGUGUGACACCAUUAAAGUCAAGCUGGUUGAUAAAUUCAAUUGGAUACAAUAAAUCGAUGUUGUCAAUAUCACCAGAAGUUGUUUGGAUAGAAUCACAACUAAGAAAGUUGUAUUUAUGACCAGGUAUAAUAUCAAGGAUAAAAAUAUUAAUCUCAGAAACAGUUACAUUCUUCGGUGUAACAAUUGCUCUGUCUUUAAAGUAGAAUGGGUCAAGAUGAGCCCUUUCAAUGUCAGGAUAUAUGGCAGAGACAAUAGCUGCAAUUGGAGAAUCAAUCACUUCAACCUGAAGCUCACAUGGGAUUUUGAUAAAUGCCGCAUCAUGAUCAUCCGAAACAGCCAAAUCACAUAUUUGUCCAUCACCAAUUAAAAGGAUUCUGCAAACUGUCUAAGUUCAUCCUUUUGGUCUAGGCUUAAACCUUCAGCUGAUAGUCACAUAUUUUGAUUCAAAGUAAGGAAUGUGAAUGCAGACCAAAGCAAUGAGCUAGUAAAAGAAGCAUUAAUUAUUUCUUCUUUUGUUCCUCCAGGUAUAACAGGAAGAAUUUGUCGGAAAUCUCCACCUAAUAAGACAGACUUGCCACCAAAUGGAUUGUUAAGUCUAAGAACAUCUCGUAGAGACCUGUCUAAAGCUUCAAAACAGAAUCUAUUAUUCAUUGGAACCUCAUCCCAAACAAUGAGUGAUGUCAUCUCUAGUAGUCGUGAAAGGUGAGUGUUGUGUUUAAUCUCGCAUGUUGAACUCUCAUUAACUUCUAAUGGAAUUUUAAAUCUAGAAUGGGUUGUUCGCCCUCCAGGUAAUAGAAGAAAAGCUAUUCCAGAUGAGGCAACAGCAAGAACAAUUAAACCUUCAGAUCUAACUCGAUUAAUAAUUGUAUGCCAUAAAAAAGUCUUUCAUGUUCCACCAUGACCAUGAACAAAUAUGAGCGCUUUUCUCUUUUGUAGUAUAGAUGUAAUAACAGAAUCAUAGAUGUUUUUUUGACAUGGAUUAAGAAGAGGCAUAAUCAAUGAAUGGUUAUUUCUAAGCUCAGCAAGAUCAUAGUCAAGCUCUUCCCUUAAAAGUUUGUUCCUGACUUCAUCCAUCAAUCGACCAUUCGGCAUUGGAAGUUUAUGAUCUUCCAAUGAUGUUCCGGAAGCAUUAAAAAGUUGUUCAAGUUCCUACAGCACAUAGUUCUUAAGUUCGUCAUCAGAGAAACAAACAUUCAACAUUGAAAAAGAAGAUCUCAGAUGAUAUUCAAUGUCAUCAUGCAUAGAGUGCCAAAAUUGAUCGAAAAGACUAUUUGGAUCAGCAACCUCGCAAAACAUAAUAAUAUUAACAAAAAAUUGCCUUAGCUGCGGAGAAGAAGCUGUUGGAAUAGCCUCACCAAAUGCAUCUGACCAUUCUUUAUCAUCUCCUAAGAGUCCCAAAGCCUUGCAUGCAAGUUGAAAAGUUGGAAAUAUUGUACCAGAGAUUUGCCGCAAGUCUUCAAAGCUCUUUGCUCCUUUAACAUGAUUAAGUAACAUUCUGAGAAAAUACAACUCUCCAGCUACAGGAUGGACAUACACAAUGCGACCAAGGCAAAAUCCACGUGAUCUAAUAAUCCAUUCUUUUUGCCUAGCAUCCCAAACAUACUUGCUUGGAAACUGUGAGUAAAAUAGAUCUCGUGCAUUGACAUCAACUCUGUUGCGCUCAAACCACUCUGUGAGCAUUAUCUUAUUAAUGCCAGGCCUUUUAAGAAGUGAUGAUAAGGAUUGAUUACCUGAAAAAAAAUACAUGGUGCUGUAAUGGUAGAUGGACUUGAAGUCUUUCAACAGCUGGGCUCCUUGAAUGGAUCGGGAAUUGGAAUAAUCGCCAUACUGCUUCAUAUGGACAAAUGAAUCUACAGUUUAGAUAAGCUUGUAUUUCAUCAUCAGCCUCUUUCUUCAUAACCAUUCUGCAUCGAUCAGCUCCUUUGCUAACAUACUUAAAAAGAUACUUGAUAAGUAGAGAUUGACAACAAAUUUCAACAUUAAUGUGUGCAUUGUAUCGAAGCAAAAGUUCUUUGUUGUACGGGACAACAUGACAAUUUGACAGGGAAAUGUCAUUUCUAACAAUGUGACUCAUAGGCUGCAUGCGUCGUUUAUAGUAAACAAAACCAUUCUCACCAAAGAUGGUCACAUCUUUGUUUUUUUUUUUUUGAAAUUGUUUGGAACAUUUAUUCUUUUCCAUACAUUGAGCCUUUGGAUUUGCAGCGCCGCAUGGACCAUGCAUCAUAAAUUUUGAAACUAUCUCAAAGCAAAUAGGAUCUUGAUGCUUGUCAGGUAUUUCAGCUGAAAUAAUAGAGUCAACAUCCUCAGGCGAACGGAAUUUGAAUUCUGGAGCUAGCCAAACUAACAAAUGAGUAUGCGGCAAACCUCUUUUUUGAAACUCCACAGCGCAAACAUCUAAAAAGAGAAUGCAAGUAAAGAAGUAAAAACGGAUGUUUGUAGAAGGAUAAAAAUAGAAACUUGAAAUUUAAGAAAUAAAAAAAAAUACCAGCAAUUGUCCGUCCAAAAGGUUUUCCAGACUUGAUGAAUGACAUAAUAUCAAUUAGUUUGGAAUGAAAUACCCUUGCUAUGAUGUCAGGUUUGUCCUCACGUUGAUAGCCCCUUGUUUUUUUAAUUUCUCGGUGAAUUUCAGGCCAAUUAACAUUGCAGGUAAAUGUGAUAAAAAGAUCAGGAUUCCCAUAACAUCUACAUAUGGCCAUAGCAUCUUGGUAAUUAUUAACCAUAUACCGAGGGCUUCCUGUUAAAGACGAUGGAAGUAUAAUUUUCCCUGUAGUUGAUCCAUCAGUAUCACCUCUAGUAAUAGCAUCAUGUAUUCCUUUGUAAUGCUCACUUCUAAGAUUUUCUUGGUUUGCACGUAUAAAAUCUAAACGUUCCUCUUCAACAUUAACAAAUGCAUCAACCAAAAAUUGUUGGUACAAUCGUCUGCCUUUUAUGAGAGUGCUUUCUUGUUUUUCUCUUUCAUGAAUGAGAUAAGCAUAAUAGGCUCUCAUUGAAACCUUUUGUCUUUUUUUAGGUGGUUGCUGCUCUUGAUGAGCUAAUGGAAUAUCAGUGUGGAAACCAUCCUCACCAUAUGGAAAAAGAAGUGGGUAAUGAAGGGACAUAAAUUUUGGAUGAAGCUUUGAGAUCCUCUGAAGUGUUCCAGAUAAACUUUCAAUAAUUAUGUCUCGAUCAGAUCGACAAUGACCAAUGUCCCCAACAACCAAACCACCAAUGUCAUUUAAAGAAGGAUCGUCGUAUUGCCUUGAGUCAUCAUCUCUUUUACCAAUUAACCGAAGUUUGAAUUCUGGAACCUCGACAUCCCCAAGUCUUUGUCGAGCAUGACGGAACAAACAAACCAAUUGAUUAGAUGAAUCAACCAUAUUGAUUAGCCCAACAACAAUGUCACUAUCCAAGAUUGAUUGAAAAUUUUCAUUGCAGAAUGGUUGCAGCCGGUUAGAAACCUUAUUAUCUGUAUCAAAAAUAUAAAGCUGCGCAAACUUGGGGCCUUUGUUAUCCAUGGGAAGAAGAGAACCCAUAAAAUGGUGGUAGUAUCCAUUGACCUUAAAAAUAUAAGAUCCAGGUCGAGAAUUAACAUUGAGUUAUAAGCACGAAUUUCACGACGAAAUGUUUUACAUGAUGAACCAUUGUUUGGGUUAAGGAGGUUAUCAAGGUAGUUAGGUGUUUCUUGUGGAGCAGGAAGCACCACCUUCCCAUUAUUACAACAAAGUGUAAAGCAUGGGCUUGUUUUAGAUGAACUGGCCAAGCGUUCUUGCAACCAAAAAAGAGUGUCGCAAUGCUUACACUUGUAUGUUUUAUCGCCAAAAUCAAUGUAUUCAAUUAAAUAACCUGUAAAAAAUGAAGGUAAGAUACUUCAAGGAAUGAUAUAAAAGAGAUAAUUACAAAUAAAGGAAAAAUGGCUACAAAAGGUACAUGAUUGGAUUACAUACGCCUUUUUUUUUCUGAUAUGAUGCUUGGCUUAUAAUAGAUUGAUGAUUAACGGUUUGCUCAGAGAAUCCUUCAGAUUCAUGACUUGAAACUACAUCACUACAGUGAAAUGAAUCAAGGGCGGUAGAUUGUGGAGGAUUGGAUUGCCUUGCAGCACUAAUUUGAUUAGUUCCAGUUUGCACUAUGUUGCUUGAUAAGGAGAAGGUGGUUUGUAUAUCUAUGUGCUGGCGUGAACAGACCAAAGUGCCGACCCCUUGAGUAUGUUGUGGAGCAGAUGGUGUAUUUGAAGAGCUUGGGUUAUCGGAUAGCAAGAUUCUAUGAACGGGGGUUUCAUAGUCAUUCAAAACAAAUUGUGAGGAUUGAGAAGAUGGCAUAUACCCAUCCGGUUGAACAUGUCCGUCAGGACUUGUCAUGUUGUUGCUCUAAAGAAACCAUGGAAAUAAAACACGAAGUUAAAUGAAAGGAAAACACAAAAAAACCAUGAUUAGUACAUGAUCAUGGCCAAGUGAAGGGAAACACAAGGAUAGAGAAAAUAUUAAUGACAUGUGUUUUCUAAAGAAACCAUGUAAACAUAGGGAUAAUAAGUAAUUAAAAAACAAAACAUAAUGAAAUUAAGUGUUGGCCAAAGAUUAAUUGGCUUGUAAGGUGAAGGAAUUACAUUAGACUAAAAUCUUUGAUAUAUCAUGAGACAUGAUGAUAGGGCAGGCUUAGCUAAAAACACAACUCCUUAGUUCAGGAAAGGAUGAAGAUAUAACAAUAAAAGAUCAAGCAAUAAAAAAAAAGACAUUAUGUGUUGCUAAACACAGAAAUACCAUAACCAUGAUUACGCAUGCAAGGAAAUAGAAAUGCAUAAAGUAAAUAACAGAAAGGCACAAAACAAACCUGAGAAAAUACCGACGAUAAAUAAAAGUGGCCGCUUUAAAAGAUCUGAAAGACAAAGUUAAAUUUUGAUUAAUAUGUGCAAGAAUAAAAACAAACAGACACACGGUAUAAGACCUAGAGAAUGAGGCAUGAAAAAAAAAACAAAAAUAAAAAUAAAAGAUGAGGCAACAUGUUUAGGUAAAAGAAAUUAAGAUCACAAUCUCAGCAAGCGCUUAAAAAAAAACACCAAAGAAAAAAAGGAAAAAAAGCUAGAACAAUCUUUGUAAUUUGUUUAAUGAGAGUGUCCUUUGUCCUGCAAUGUUUUUUAAAAAAUUAAAACAUAGGAUAAGAAAUUUUUUAUUUUCGAAAUUGUCCUAUAACCCAUAGUUUGACUCAUGCAAACAUUGCUAAAAACACUAAGGACCCGUGACCUGCUUUCUUUAUAUGAACAUUAGGCAUGUGAAAUUUGUUGCAAGCUCGUGCUCCAAACGAAUAAUAAUAAUUAAUAUAACCUCAUUAUAAAAGUAUAAAUCCUAAGUUAUUUCAUGAAAUGUCACCCACACCAUCAACACAUGUAUAGCAACCAUGAAGAAAAAAGUGUCUAUUUGUACAAACCAACGAACACUUUGAAUUUCUCUUUUCACAUCAGAUGUAAAACGAUAUUGUUUCAAAUUUUGUUUUUCUCUCAAGUACAAUGGAAAAAGUAAUGCCCACACCUCAAAAAAAAAUGUCUUAAUGAAUAUAAUAUAAUCCAAGCUUCAAUUCUGAUCAUGAGAAAGAUAUAUAAAUUAAUAUUGAAUAUGAUGAAUCAUAUGUGUUCUGAAAACCAAUAUUUAUGAGCAAAGCUAGUUUGUUUUUGCCGCCAGCAAUGAACGGCCAUGUAAAUUGUUUCAAAACCAGCAUGAAAGAACUGUCAAUGAGCAACGGCUGCCUCUUUUUGUUGUUUGCAUAAUGACCGCCCAUACUCUCCUUUCCAUUAUUCCUAUAUACGUCUUGCCCCAACAAUUCUAUGAAUCGCAUCUCCGAUGGAGUUUCAAGAUGCAAACUUAGCAGAGCGGUUCCAAAACGAAGAAGCUAAGCAGCAAGCAAGCACCAAACAUCUAUGCCGAAUAGGUAGCAUAUUCAUGAACUUUUUGUGAUGUGGAUAGGUGGAGAGCUGUAGACAGUUUUGGUGGUUAUUUUUAAAAAUAUAUUUUAUUUUAAAGUAUAUUAAAAUAAUAUUUUAUUUUAAUUUUUAAAAUUUAUUUUUGAUAUUAGCAUAUCAAAAUAAUCUAAAAAUAUUAAAAUAUAUAUUAAUUUAAAAUAAAAAUUAAAUUAAAUUUUGUUCUAAGCACAAAAAUAAAUAAAGUGUCUUUUACGAUUCCUUUAGACAAGCACGCACCGAUCCCCAUGUGCAUGUUCCCAUUGACCAUUGCCCCAUGAUAUUUUCAGGUCCAAAUAUCCCACCCGACACCAUUUACCAUUUAGAACAUCAUAAUCUGCAUUAUUUUACUUUCGAGUCCUUUUGCACAUGCACGCGAGAGGAACUGCCACCACUGCCAUCAAUCUCGCAAGAUGGAUCGCUAGUGCCCAGCCCCUACCAAGAAAAAUGUUAAAAAGCCAGCAAUCCACGCCGUGCUUUCUGUGGGCAAAAAAGCUGAUUUUCCCAGGCAAGUUGGCAUUCUUCGGUCACUUUCUUGUUGCACCAGUUUCUAGCCCUCGCAUAUAUAUACUUGCCAUCCCAUUUUCCUUUCAACAAAUCAGUCACAAUCUAAAAAAAAAAAAAAAAAGUUGUAUUUCAAUCUUGAAAGUCCAGCUUCUCAUUACAGCAAAUCAUCAGUUUUCUCAAAUGAGUCUCAUCAAGAAUCACAAACCUUGUCCAGUGAUUGAAUCCCACCACUCAACGCAUAAAUUCUUCACCAUAUGCAACUACAUUCUCUUGUGUUCAGCCUCUAGUUGCAUAUUCCUCACCCUUUCUCUCCGCCUAUUCCCUUCUCUCUGCGGCUUCUUUGUCAUUGUCCUCCACAUGUCCACCAUCAUUAUAGUUGUAUCUGGCUGUCCUAUGACGUUAUCUGGAUUCCAACAAUUGGUAUGCAGCUCACAUGAUCAGCACCUCUCUAACAGCAAUAUUUCAAGCAUCAGUUUACCGAAUCCUACUCUUCCGCUCUCGCUCCUCUUCCUACAGGUGCGAGUAGCAUGCUAUUAUAGGGAGUCCUCCCACUGCACUGGAGUGAGUUUAUUCCAAGAAAGAAGACAGAGAGUGACCUUGAAGUGUGCUUCUUGUUCGUUUUCUUCCCUUGGCUCCAUUCCAUCCUUUACAAAGUACAGGUCCCAGGUUCGCGCUUUCCUUUGAACAUGAGCUCUUAGAUAGAUAUCAGCAUAGCUUCGUAAUUAAACUUCUCACACAUCUUCUCUAAAACCGAGAGCUUGAGAUGCAUUGCUUGCGUCUUCAUUGGGUCUUACGUACUUAAAAACAAAAAAGAAAUGACCAACAUACUGUAACGGUCUAGUUACAGCGCCGAACGACCAAUAUUUUCUGAGCAAUAUUUGUAUGCCAUAACAGCUACCUUAUUCAUUACACAAACAUAUAUAAUUACAAAAACGAUAUGCCAUCCUAUAUUGCGGCAUGCAAUGAAAAAACAUCUCUGCAAACUUUAUAAAAAAACAACAAAAGAAGUUCCCAAAGCUUGGCAAAAGCAUAAGAUUUGGUAUGUAGAAAUACAAUUGGCUGCGAUUCUAUUUUUUGCAAAACUAAUCAUUAUGCACAGCUGUUAGACAAAGAAACGCACAUAACCCAGAAUGUGGUGCGACAGAGAUGCACCUGACAUGAGCGCACGACGACGGAUAAAGAGUAGAAUAUCAAACCAUAUGCGUUAGGACUUGAUGAAACGAAGACAGUCUGCAGAAUCACACAAAGCAGAAAGAAAAGAGAAAAGAGAGAAGCCCCUCUUUUGAACAACAUGGCAACGACUGCAGAAUGAGACAAAAAUGUAAAGACACUUGAUGGCCAAUGAAAAAAAAAACACUCCUUUUCAUAAUAUGACAGAGCACAGGCCAUGCAUAAUAUGCAGACAGCAAGAUGAGCAUAGUUACUUUCCACAACACAAUCUUAAAAACAACUAAGAGGAAAAUAUUCUAACCUUGAAAUCCAAGCCCUCUCCUGAAAGACAAUAUGAUAAAGGGAACAACGAACUACAAAGGAAAGCAUAACAAAUCAUGGCCACCCGAAUACUGAACAAACAAAAGUUGCAGGAAAACAUACCUUCAAAUAUUAUAAGAGACCCGAAUACUGAACAAAUAAAAGUUGCAGGAAAACAUACCUUCAAAUAUUAUAAGAGAGGCGAGAGCUGAGAGAACUGGCUCGCUAAAAAAACUAUUUCAAAAAAGCACCAUCCCAUGCAAUUAAACAAUUAGAAAGCAGACUAACCAGAAUAGAAAUGCCAACGAAAACUGAAUAGGAAACAAUGAAAACGGAGGCAAGCAUAUGUGUAUAAUGAUGCCAACGCCACAUCCAUUUAAUGCACCAUCAAAGAAGAUUAGACAACUUGACUUUAUUCUAAAUGAAGCCUGAAAGCAUUUAAUGCACCAUUAAAAAAACACUGGCUGAUUUGACAUUGUCUAAAUGAAACCUGAAGACGUGUAAGCUCAUUGCCUCUUUGCAUGGCAUUUUAAUUAUUAGAUGUCAGAUAAUUCAGUAUUCCUUGAACCCUCUAAUCCUUAUAGAAGAAAAAGAAGACCCAAUUACAGGGGGGAAAAACGACAGUCUAAUUUUUCAAAGCAUUGAAGGCACUGGUAUCAUGAUCUCGCUUUUUUCAAACUUCUCCAGUGACAAUAUAUUUUGUGGGAAACUGAGCAAGACACUCCACCACAAUGCAGAGACGAUAUAUGUCUUGGCAGGGAAAACCGUGGGGAAAGCUACAGUACUUUCCCUACACGUUUUAAAGUUCUUUAAUAUAUAUAUAUAUAUAUAUAUGAGUAAUCAAAUUAAAAAAUCUACAAAUAUUUAAUGCUAACACAAUCCUGCACAAAUCUAAACCACAUUUUUCUUCUUUGAGACGGUAGCUUUUUAGCAGAGAAAAGGAACAAAAACGGGCUUUUACAUGGAAAGUAACGCAGCCAUAUGUUAAGCUAUCCAAUCUAUAUAUAUAUAUUAAAUUAUCCAAUCAUUUAUCAUGCUAUAAUCAAGUUAAAUAUUGACAUUACAUUUCUUUGUAGGUGCACGUCUAAUCAACAGAUCUUCUCUGAUCACUUAUAAGGUUCCAUCCACUUGAUGUUAGGGGCUCCACAGUCAUUCUUUUCAUUAGUCUACUGUUAAUGUUUUUCUUCAACUUGUGGAAGUCAUGUGUUCUGAACCAGUCGAAGACAUGACAGAAGAGACAAGAAACCACCUUCUAUAAUCAAAACUUGAUCGCAGGGCUUCUUCGUCAUUCCAGUGAUUCGGCGCUACCAAUCUUUUUUUUCUUUUAUUUUUCUCUCCUCUUAAAAAUUUACUUUUGCCUAUUCAAAUUUGCAAAUCAGCCCUUUAUAUUUUUUUUUCUUUGGAUUUUGUAUUUUUUCUUUUUUUUUUUAAUUUUUUUCUAAAAUUAAAAUUUUUUGAAUUUGAUCCUCCUUCAAUGUUUUAAUCUAUAGAUUUUAUUCAUUUUUUUAUUAUUUUUUUAUUUGAGAUAAUUUUUUAAAUUAUUUUUUUUUCUUCCACCCUCCUUUAUUUUUUUUUAUUUGAUGCUUAUUUUUUUAUUGUUAUUUUUUUCUUUAGUAAAUUUUUAAAUUGAAAAUAUUUUUGUUGAUUUCAUCUAUCAACAUUAAAUUGAUUGAGAUUUAAGUUUUUUAAUUGAACUUAAAUCUACUAUUUUAUGAGUUGUGAAAUUAAAAUAGUAGUCUAUGUUUAGAAAAUUUGUCCUAGUUGGAUUAAAAUAAUAAACUUACUAUUUUAUUUUAAAAAAAAUUUCACACUCACUCUCCGCUAAUGGAUGGCGGGUUGAUGAGGUGACUAAACUUGGCCACUUGUUGAAAGGUUGGGGUGAUUUCCAUACUACUACAAGAAUAAGCACCCUACCAAAAUAAGAAAUAUUCUAGUAUUUAAGUUAGUAAAUAUCCGAGGAGAAUAAUAUAUAAGAUACAAGAGUUAGUAAAUAUACUAGGAGAAUAAUGUAUAAAAACAGGAGGUGUGGUAGAGUGUCUAGAGGGAAAAGUGUGUACAACAGGGUAGGAGGGGGGAUUGUGGAGCAGGGGAAUAACAAUAUGUAUAACAGCAGAGGUGUGUGUAGAAGAAGAGGAGAAAUAUGUGUAGGAGGAGAGGAACAAUGCUGUUUGGUGGCUUUUUGUGACCUCUUAUGCUCUGUGUGAUUCUGUCCUUAUGUGGGUGGCCAUUAUUGAGUGUAGGUGCCACACUAUACAGGGUAGGUGCUGUACUUAUUAGUGGUAUAGAGUGAAAAUUCAGCGACAACGUACCUAGGCCUGCCAUUUUAGCUUUGAUUCUCCGCCGGUAAUCGUCGUAUGCUCUACCAGGAGUUUGCCUUGAUAAACUACAGAGUUGAUCAGUAAACCAUACAAUGGUAAACCAUGCCAGAAGAAUCUAUAGAGUAGGAAAUGUAACCAGGAGUUUGCCUUGACAAAUACCAGAAAGAUAAGGAUUUCCUUCGAAACCUGGAUUGCAGAACAUUGAACUUUCUCCUUAUUAUUUGUGGACAUUACAUAUCUAUGUAAAAUCUUUGCAUUAUGAUUUUUUCUUUUAUAUUUACUACUUUUGGGAUUUUUCUACUUCCCCAAUCUUCUUCUCUAAUGGUAACUUUUAGAACUUCAUUUAUACACUAUUUAGGAUUUUCUAUAGAUUUUAAUUCGAUCAUCAAGCAUGCAUGCAUGUAGCCUGGUAGCAUGCAGCAAUACGAACAGCAAGUGCUAGCUGGAGUCCUGGUUAUUGCUAAAGGAAUCAAUAUUCAUGUAGAGCAUGAUAAUAUUUUUAGUUAUUUUCCACUUAAGUUUCCGGAGAAUUCUUUAUUUUACAAACUAUGCACAUGCCUAAAUUCCCCGUUUUACAAUUUGUUAGUGUGGCAUCUACUUGAAUGUCUUGUCUGAGAGGGGAGGCCGGCGCCUCCAUGAGUUACUAGUCUUAUAGGUUAGUUACGCAGUUGUUUAUGGUAAAGUAAUUAUUCUCAUAAUUAUUCAUACGAUUAGGAUGCGUAGUAAGUUUACAACCCUACAAAGUCUAUAAAUAUCAAAGACGUCUUGUAUGAAGAAGAGAACAUACAAAACCCCACACACUCAUUCAACCAACCAGUUGGCAACAGUUCAGUUUUCUUGUAUGCCAGGCUUUGUAAGAAAUCCUUAAUUAGGUCGUUGUGAAGAUAAAUUCCUGGUUAAUUUUACAAUUUUUUUAUUUUCUUCGGCAUUAUAUUUCGUACUCCAUCGAUUCUUCUCGAAUUUUUUACCAUUACAUGGUGUAAAGAUCAACUAUGUUACUCUAUGUGACAGAGGAUCCAGACUACAUGGAUUGCCAGGGACAUGUGAGAGAAAAAACGUUGGUCCUGUUUAUGUUGCUGCAUUUGCAUCCCAUAUCAUCUAAGAAAUGACAAUUGCUUAGGAGUAAGAAUACUUGUAUUUUUCCUGAUCAGUUCCCUUUCCCUAUCCGUUCAUAAUUGCUUGACUGUUGUAGGAAUUGGAGUGGGAAUUGGAGCAUUAUUUAUGCUCAUUGGUCUGUGGUGGUUGUACAGAGUAUUCAAGAGGAGGAGGAAUGAAAAACAGAGGAAAAAAUACUUCGCAUGGAAUGGUGGUUUAUUGCUGCAAGAACAACUGUCUUCAGGUGAAGUCCAUGUUGGGAAAAUCAAAUUGCUUACAUCCAAAGAACUAGACAAUGCCACAGAUCACUACAAUGUGAAUAGAAUGCUUGGUCAGGGAGGUUGGCUGAUGGAAAGAUCAUUGCAGUUAAAGAAAUCCAAAAUUCUUGAAGGGAAUCUCAGACAAUUUAUCAAUGAGGUGGUCAUUCUUUCACAAAUUAACCACAGAAAUGUGAUUUAGCUUUUGGGCUGAAGUUCCAUUGUUGGUCUAUGAACUCAUUCCUAAUGGGACACUUUCCCAGUUUCUCCACUACCCAAAUGAGGAGCUCCCAUUAACAUGGGAAACGCGCUUAAGGAUUGCAACAGAGGUAGCAGGGGCACUCUCCUACCUGCAUUCAGCAGCUUCGAUCCCCAUUUAUCACAGAGACAUCAAGUCUACAAACAAACUGUUGUAAGCAUUGACCAGACUCAUGUCACAACUCUGGCACCUUUGGAUACUUGGAUACAGAGUACUUACAAUCAAGCCAGUUCACCGACAAGAGUGAUGCAUAUAGCUUUGGUUUAGUCCUCGUCGAGCUACUCGCUGGACAAAAGGCAGUAUCCUUUAGCAGAUCGGAUGAUGAAGCCAGAAGUUUAGUCGCAUGAAAGACAACCAUCUGUUAGAUAUUCUUGAUCCUCAAGUCAUGAUGCAAGGGAAGAAAGGGCAUGUGUUGAUGGUUGCUACCUUGGCUAUGAGUUGCUUGGGGUUAAAGGGGAAAGAAAGGCCUCGAUGAAAGAAGUUGAUUAAAAAAAAAUCACUUAGGAAUCAAAUUUCAGAGAAGGAUUUCAACAUUUCACACGAGAUUGAAAUAUGAUAAUGGUUAUGAAGUAAUUGAUGUUCGUUGGGACCUUGCUUCUACCUCAAUAGGCUUUGGUUUUGACAAUGGUGUUGCUUCUUCAAAAGAAACAACACUACUCUUGCACACAUUUUAGAAUUUUUUUUCUUUUUUGUAAUUUUAUGUUUUGUUGUAACCAAAUAGUUGCUCCUGAUCAUAUGAAUAAUAUAAAGAAUUUUUUUUAUUUUCCAUUUUUUUAGUAUCCAUUGUUCUUGAUAGUAUCCACAACACUAUCAAGAACAACGUUCGUACGUAGAUUUAUUUGGUGAUAUAUGUAUCCUUGACUGGUUCAAGAUGACGCACUCCAUGAGCAUGCUGUGUUGGUCACAGGCAUUCAUUAUCAGUCAAGAAUGGCUCCUGGAAUAAAUAGAGUUUCGAAACUUAUUCAAAUAUUAAUUUAAACCUUGAAAAGUUAUGAUACCGCAAGUCCAGUGAUGGUAAGAAGGAAAUCAUUUGACAUUUCUAUAAUUUCUAGCAUUCACGCGUUAUGAUUGAUUAAUUUCCUUGCAAGAAAUUAACCAAAAUAUUUCUUUCUUUUCUAGAUGAAUGGACAAUGAAUACGUCAAAAAAUUAAGAAUGAAUUCAUAAUUACAUAAUUAUAUAGUUUAUCAGAACUAAUAAUUAAUGAGUCCUUUAGUAUGAAAAUAAUUACAUAAUUCUUUCACAAAUGUUUUUAAUUUGUUUCUUUUAUUUUCAAAAAUCUCUUUUCUUCCUAAUCAAAUUUUCUCAUCCUAGACAUUACACAUCUUUUCUUUCUUUUAUAUAUUAUCAGUCAGGAAUGGCUGCAAGAAUAUUUAAUAAUAAACUCAGUCCCUAUAGUUUAUGAAAAAUAACUAACGAGUCCCAUAGUAUGAAAAAUAACUAUCUAGUCCCUUGACUAGUGAUGACCUACUUCAAUUUAGUUGUUUAUGUUUUCAAAAAUACCUUCUUUCAUAAUCCAUUUUUCUCAUCUUAGCUAUAUAUGUUUUCGUUUGUUAUCCAUGUAAGAAAACUAAGUAAAAAUAGAACAAGAAAGUGAUGAAAGGACUAAGUUAUAAACGGAUUUAAGAAAAUAGGGAUCAAAUUUAUAGUUUCUAAAAAAUUAUUAGUUGAUUAGGUUAGGCUUUAGUUGAAGAAACAUCAUCUUUUGUUUGGUCAAAGUCCAACAUCUAGCAUAAUAUCUGGCUCUAAAAGUGAUGCAAGUAAAUGGGGAGAACAAAAGCAAGAAGAAAUCAGCUUUGAAUCCUUCUACUAUUAGUUGGGAAUUUCACAGGGUAGAAUGUAAAGAAUCUGAUCUAUAUAGCUUCAAGCGGCAGGAUUUUCAUUUCAGUCAGGGAGAGGAAAGCUGUAAAGAAAAAUAAUGGCUUUUCAGCUAGCGUUUCAAGUCAUUUUUUUGCUCUGCUCAUUGAAUCCAUUUCUUGCAGAAGCACAAUCUAUGACAAAAGGUGGAUGUAAAGAACGUUGUGGAAACAUCACCAUUCCAUAUCCGUUUGGAAUGGAAACUGGUUGUUACUUAGAAGAGAGGUUCAGGAUAGAUUGCAACUCUAGCAGCAUUCCUACACUUGACCUAAAUGGAACCAGCCUGGAGGUAAAAGAUAUCUCAGUUGAUACAGCCAACAAUAUUAUUCAAAUCAAUUUCCCAUUCAUCUUUCAAAAUUGCAGCAGCAAAACCAGCAGCAGGGAUUCACUGGUCGUCAAUUUGGAAGAUACCCCUUUUUCUUUCUCAACCGAAAAUCGGUUCGUUGCAGUUGGUUGCAACAACCUUGCUUUGUUGAGCAGAAAUGAGGCUACUGUCGGCGGGUGCAUGUCAAUUUGCAACGUAAGCAGUAGUGAUGCCUCUGCAAAUGGUACUAUUUGUAAUGGCAUCAACUGCUGCGAGACCACAAUCCCCUCAGGUCUCGAUUUUUUUAACGCAACCUUACAAGUUGGAGGCGACAAGGUGAAGGAUGGGUGCAAGUAUGCCUACUUAGUUGAUCAAAAUUGGUUUAAUCUGAGGUUCGACAAUAACAUUUCGGUGAUAGAUAUGGACUAUGUCCCAGUGGUGCUAAAUUGGAAAAUUGAUCUUGGAUUAUACGAAAAUAUGACGCUGAAUGGAUCGGCGUAUAGCGUAACAAAUUUAACGUCUUCCGGGACUUCCAGUUGUAGCCAGAAGGCCCAGAACUCAACUGUUCUUCUAUGUUCGUGCUCCUCAGGCUUUCAAGGCAAUCCUUAUAUUCCUGAUGGUUGUCAAGGUAAUCAUUCUCAUCAACUAAACUAAUAGUUUCUUUAAACAUGGAUUAAAGAAAUUGUUUCCUUCAUCGUAAGCAUAUUAUUAUUGAAUCUGAUUCUGCCAGUGUAAUCAGCUGGAUGCAUAAUCCUCACAACAGGCCAUGGAUGCAUAGAGACCUCUUCUCCACAGUUCAGAAAUUGUCUAGACUGUUUGGUUCAAUUACUUUUUCUCAUGUGUACCGUGAGAGCAAUAGUCUGGCGCCAAAUUGUAUGGCUAAGCAAGGAGUGCACAGAUCGAGUGAUUUCAUUGCUUGGUUUUGAUUCAUCUCUUUAGAGGUUUAGAUUCUCGUAAAAUUAAAUUGGAGACUCUUGGAAGCUUCUCCUGGAUUUUGCAGUAAUGGUUUUCUUGUGUAGAUUAUAUUGUUGCUUUCUUAGUCUAUUUCUGAUGUUUUGUCCUCUUUGUAUGGACUUUGCUUUGAUUGGUUGUUCCUGCAAAAUUGAUAUGCGGCAGGCUUUGUAAUUUUUCAUGCUGCCAGGCUAUGGCGUUUAAUAAAUCCAUAUACUUCUCAAAAAAAACAUGGAUUAAAGAAUAGGAUAAUUACAUGAUGUACUGAAUUUUGUGUUGUCUACAUAUGCAGAUAUUAAUGAAUGCCAGAGCUCUCCCAACAACAACACUACUAUUUGCUCCCGGGACCUAAUCUGUAAAAACCUAUACGGCGGCUACCAAUGUGUUGAAAUCAAGAAAUCUCGGGUUAAAAUGGUGGGUUUAGGUAUGUUGUCUUGCAACCUAGAACAUGAUACAAAUGGAUUUGUUUCUUUAUUUUUCAGCAGUUUGAGAAGAAGAGUGCAUGAAUUUCUCAAAAUGUGAAUAGUCAUGAAGGCUUAUUGAUCUGUUAAUCAUUAUGCAGGUUUUGGCGUGGGGUUUGGAGUCUUGAUCCUACUUAUUGGUUCAUGGUGGUUGUACAAAGUUAUAAAGAAAAGCAGGAAUGAAAAACGCAAGAAGAUGUUCUUUCAACGGAAUGGUGGUUUGUUGCUGCAAGAACAACUAUCUUCAGGGGAAGUCAACGUCGAGAAAAUCAAAUUGUUUGGUUCAAAGGAGUUGGACAAGGCCACUGAUCAUUACAAUGUGAAUAGAACGCUUGGCCAGGGAGGCCAAGGUACAGUUUACAAAGGGAUGUUAGCGGAUGGAAAAAUCAUUGCAGUCAAGAAAUCAAAAGUUCUUGAUGAAGAUAAUCUCAGACAAUUCAUUAAUGAAGUUGUCAUUCUUUCACAAAUUAACCACAGGAAUGUGGUCAAGCUUUUCGGUUGUUGCUUAGAGACUGAGGUUCCAUUGUUGGUCUAUGAAUUCAUUCCUAAUGGAAACCUUUACCAGUUUCUACAUGACUCGAAUGAAGAAUUCCCAUUAACUUGGGAAAUGCGAUUAAGGAUUGCAACAGAGGUUUCUGGGGCACUUUCUUACCUACAUUCAGCAGCUUCCAUCCCAAUUUUCCACAGAGAUAUCAAGUCUACAAACAUACUACUAGACGAGAAGUACAGAGCCAAAGUAGCAGAUUUUGGGACAUCAAAGUCAGUAACCAUCGACCAAAGUCGUGUCACAACUCUAGUACUAGGCACCUUGAAUAAUCGAGAGGUAUGUUAGAAGAUGCAGACGAAAUUAAUAUCUUGAAUAUAGUUUUCCUGUGUAUAUAUACUUGAUCUGUUGAGUGGAUCGAACAGCAGUGAAUGGCAGCAACAUCUACAUCAGGGCAGGAAAGAAAGGGGAAUGGCAGCUAUCCAGUUAGUACUAUUGUACUUUCAGGCAAUGUUGUUGUUGUGGUCAUUUGAUGAUCCAUCGCUUAUUGCAGAAGCACAAGCUAUGGAAAACCCUGAAAAUUGUCCAGGUGCUUGUGGCAAUGUUAGCAUUCCAUAUCCAUUUGGAAUGAGAGAAGGUUGUUACCAUGACGAAAGCUUAAAAAUACUUUGCAACUCUAGUAAAAUUCCCCUACUUUCAAUAAACGGCAUUGAUCUGGUGGUUUAUUGCUGCAAGAACAACUAUCUUCAGAUGAAGUCCAUGUUGAGAAAGUCAAAUUGUUUGCAUCCAAAGAAUUAGACAAGGCCACAGAUCACUACAGUGUGAAUAGAAUGCUCGGCCAGGGAGGUCAAGGUACUGUUUACAAAGGGAUGUUGGCUGAUGGAAAGAUCAUCGCAGUUAAGAAAUCCAAAUUUCUCGAUGAAGGGAAUCUCAGACAAUUUAUCAAAGAGGUGGUCAUUCUGUCACAAAUUAACCAUAGAUUUUUUUUACCUCAUUCAUUUCAAAAUUAUUGAAAGUAAAAUUUCAAAUUCUUAAGAAAUUAAUUCUUUAUUGGAUUAUAUUUUCUCUGAAAUUGUAUUAUAACAAGUUUUUACUUCUAUUUAUUGAUGCAAAUAUUAUAAAUCAUAGAAAAAAUAUCCUUGAAUUAAAAAAAAAAAAAAGCUGUAUUUUCUCGAAUGUUUGUCUAGAAGUAUUAUUAUUUAAAGACUUUGUGUUUUACGAUUAGUUUUUAUUUUCUUAAUGAGAUAUUUUUCUUAUUUCUUAUUUUAUUUUGUGUUUUGUGGAUUUUGUUAUUUUAUUUUAAUAUUUUAUAUAUUUUUUAUUAUUCAAAACAAACUAUAACAUAAUGAGAAUAAGGUAAGAGAAAUGUAAGGAAAUGAAGAAGAAGAAAAAGUGGCAGUAUUACCUUUAAUAUCCAAACUAACUAUAAAUGAAGACAACCCACCGCCACCAUGAGACGUGUUUUAAAUUAAAAUCCAUAAAAUCAUGCAUAAUAUUCCUGUUCAAGAAUAUACAAAAAAGCUCAUAUAUAUAUAUAUAAACAUUGGAUAUUUCUAUUUACAUAUGGCGUUUAUGAUGAAUAUAAAUUAAUUAAUGCCAACACUUAAUUAAAUAUAUUCAUCGUUUCCUAGAAAAAAAGAAGUAAAUACUGUCAACCUUGUAGUUUAAAUUAAAUCAGCAAAGAUCAUCUUUUCAGCUAAUCUUCAAAGAUUGUGUUUGUUUAAUUUUUUUAAUCAUUAUCUACUUAUAAUUAAUAUUAAAUUUAAAAAAUGCUUGAACAUAUUAUUAAGUUGCUUAUAAUAAUGAUGAUUUAAAAAAAAAAGAUAUUAUAUUUAAUUAAAAAAAGGACUUGAUAAGAAGAUAAUAAUAAGAUGUAAAUGAUACAUCAUCAAAUUAUUAUAUAUACCAAAAUAAACCUUUGACAACUUAAGAGUAAUAAUAAAGCAUUGAUCGAUACAAAAACAUCUUGGGCAGCAUGUAGUCCCUUUUGGUGGCGAAUAUACAAUUGAUUUCUGCACCAACUUCUGGAGAACCACAGUGUUCUUCUGUGGCAUGUCAUGGUCAAGUGAAUUCCAUUGGUUUGAUAUCUACGAUGCUUCCAGGGAUCCUUAUUGUGGCGACUGCAAUUGGACAAUACAAGCAACUGGGCCAUGCGUGGAUUAUUAUAAAUAUAUUUGGAAGGAAUUUGUGUGUUAUCCUUGGAAAUUGGAACAAGAAGGCAUAUCUUCAUUAAAGUGCGAGCUAGCUCUCCAUGUAUCUCAUCUCCUCUGUAUAAUUUGCUAGCUGCAUAAAAUGGAGGCAACAAAAAAAUAAGUGUACCAUGUAUUAAUAAUGAAUUUCUCCACCCAUUAGAGUGUUUUCUUUUCAUUAUUUAGAUAAUGUUUUAAGAAAUAACAUUAUUUUGGUUCUGAUCAUCAGGAUUUACCGUUGCUUAUAAAAUUCAGAGACGUAUAUUUAAUGUCGGUUGUUACAUAAUAUAAUAUUUUAAGUUAUUUUGGGUACGUCUUGUUAAACUUAUUGAGAUCAAACACAAAAAGGAGGCUAGAAUUCUAAAUAAUCUGUAUAUUAUGAAUGCAUAGUCUUAACAUAAAUACAAAUAAAGUAUAUAUAGGUUAAACUGAAAGUACUAUUCUACCCUUAAUAAAUAAGACUACAUAAAUAUUAUUUAACAUCUCCCCUCAAACUCACGAUGCGGCAGCUGUAAGCAUCGAGAGUUUGCCAACCAGAAAACAAAAACGAGAGAUGGAAUGCGCCUUGGUAAAGAAAUCUGCAAUCUGCAAGGAAGAAGGAACAAAAGGCAAAGUAAUGGUGCCAUGCUUGAGAUGAUGACGAGUAAGAUGACAAUCGAUCUCAAUGUGCUUAGUUCGCUCAUGAAAAACCGAGUUGUGAGCAAUCUGAAUAGAACUCUAGUUGUCACAAUACAUAGGAGUAGGAUGAGAAAAGGAAACUCCCAUAUCAGCAAGUAACCAACGUAACCAAACAAUCUCUUUGGUAGUAGAUGUCAUGGCACGAUAUUCUGCUUCGGUGGAUGAUUGAGAAACAAUAGAUUGUUUCUUGCUCUUCCAAGAAAUAAGAGAAUCACCUAAAAAGAUACAAAACCCGGUAACAGACUUGCGAUCUGUGGGAUCACUACCAUGAUCAGCAUCAGAGUAUGCACGCAACUCCAAGGAAGAGGUGGAUGAAAGUAAAAGACUCUGAAAAACUGUACCCCGAAGAUAUCGCAAAAUAUGAAGAACAGCUGCCCAGUGAACAGUAGUAGGAGAAGCAACAAACUAACAACAUGAACAACAUAUGCAAUAUCUGGACGAGUAAUGGUGAGAUAUACCAAACUCCCAACAAUAGUGCGGUAUAAAGUAGGAUCUAUCAAAGGUAAACCAUCAGAAGAAGAGUACCUUGCAUUAACCUCAAUAGGAGUAUCUACAGUCUUGUUAUCAGUAAGUCUAGCCCGCUCAAGAAUAUCUGCAACAUAUUUCGACUGAGAAAGAAGGUAACCUCUAGGUGAGUAUGCUACCUCAAUACCCAGGAAAUAUCGAAGAUAACCCAAAUCCUUCAUUUCAAAUCGUCUAGCCAACUCUGUCUUCAAAACUGAAAUACCAUCAAUCAUCACCAGUAAUAAUCAUGUCAUCAACAUAUAAAGACAGAAUGAUACGACCUGCAUCAGUGCACUUAAUAAAAAGAGCAGAAUCAUGACUGCUAGAAACAAAGCCAAAGACGAGAUCACAAUAGAGAAUUUCUCAAACCAAGCACGGUGCUUGUUUGAGACCAUAUAAUGCUUUCUUAAGCUUACAAACAUAUCCAGAGUCAUGUGAAAUACCAGGAGGGGGUGCCAUAUAAACUUCUUCUUGAAGAUCUCCAUUCAAGAAGGCAUUUUUAACAUCAAGCUGAGAAAUAUGCCAUUACGAAUCGAAGCUACACAAUAAGAGUACGAAUAGUAGUCAUUUUUGCAACCGGGCAAAUGUCUCCUCAUAGUCCAUACCAUACUGUUGAGAGUAUCCUUUUGCAACCAGCCUAGCUUUGUAUCGCUCAAUAGACCCAUCAGAAUUAGUCUUGAUCUUAUACACCCAACAACCAACAACACUCUUACCAGGAGGUAGAGGAACCAGAUCCCAAGUAUUUGUCUUAUGCAAAGUAGAAAGUUCCUCAUCCAUAGCUUGCUGCCAAAGCGGAUCAAGAAUUGCCUCUUUAUAGGAAGAGGGCUCAAAGAGACAAUGAAUAGAAGCUAAAAAGGAAGUAAAUGAUGAAGAAUAACAAGAAUAAGCAAAAUCUGGUAGUUUUGUAGACUUACGAAUACGGAUGGACUGACGUGGAGGUGGAUCCACAAUCUCAGAUGAAGCUUGAGGGGCUGUAGAUGAGAAUGGAGCUUCAGGUGUGCCAGAGAGUAAAGUACCAGUACCUGCAGAGUUAUGAGUACAAAUUGAUCGAACAUGGGGAGAGAUAUCAUUAUCAGAAUCCUCAGAAAACGGAUCUAUACUAAUGACAUCAGAUUUGGUCAGGUUAUGAGUAGUGGAUGGAAUAGAAAAGAAAGGUAUAUGCUCAAGGAAGACAACAUGACGAGACACAUAAAGUUUCUGAGUUAUUGGAUCAAAACAACGAUAACCCUUUUUACCUUCACCAUAGCCUAGAAAAACACAAAUAGCGGAUCGAGAGGAUAACUUACUUCGUUCUACAUGAGGACGAAGAACGAAACAAGUACAACCAAAGACUCUAAAUGAGGAAUAAUCAGGAACAUACCCAUAUAACUUUUCAAAAGGAGAUAGACCCGAACUAUGAGAAGAUGGAAUUGUAUUAAUUAAACUUACAGUAGUAAGAACAGCUUCUCCCCAAAACUCACUAGGAACAAAGGCAGACAACAAGAGAGAACGAGCAGUUUCAACAAUGUGCCUAUGUUUUCUUUCAGCAACACCAUUUUGCUCAGGAGUAUCUGUACAAGAAGUUUGGUGGAUGGUUCCAUCUAGGGCAAGCAAUUGGCAAAAUUUAUUAGAGGUGUAUUCCCCACCCAAAUCACACCUAAAACAUUUAAUCACAGCAGAAUGUUGAGUUUUGAUAAGAGCUCGAAAAGCUGCAUAUAUCUCAAAAAUUCAGAACGAUGUUUCAUUAAAUAAACCCAACAAUAACGAGUAUGAUCAUCAAUAAAAGAGACAUAAUAUCGAGACCCUCCUUUUGUGGCAACAGGAGAAGGUCCCCAUACAUCAGAAUGAAUCAAAUCAAAUGGUGAAGAAGAAACAGAAAUACUUCGAUUAAAAGGUAAGGCGGAAAAUUUUGCCAAUUUACAUCCACUACAAUCAGAAAUGUCACAAGUUUUCAAAUUUCCUAAAGCUCCUGUGGAUGCCAAAAAUCUCAAACGAGAAGAUGAAACAUGACCUAGACGGGAAUGCCAUAAAUAAAAACUAGAAGAUGAAAGACUCAAACGAAAGGAAGACAAAUCAACGGUAGUAGCAGCAGUGGCAGCAGCAGCAACUGGCACUUUUAACUCAUCCAAAAUAUAUAGUCCAUUCUCUCUACGGCCUGUCCCAAUCAGCUUCUGAGACUGCAGAUCCUGUAUACAACAAAAUGAACCAGAAAACAUGACUAAAUAAUCACCAGAAUCACAUAUUUGACCAACAGACGCAAGAUUCAAAGACCCAUGACAGGAAUCUGGAGACAUAUGAUGAGAAGCACCAGAAUCCAAGACCCAUUCAGAAUGUGACAUACCUGAGGAACUAUGAUGCAACUGACCUAUGGAAGAAGAAGCGGACAUUGCUUGUGGCUGCAAGGAGAGAAACUUCUGAAAUUGCUCAGCCAAAAUAUUAGGAUCGGUAAUAGAGCUUGAGGAAGCUACUGCUGCAGUAUUGUGGUGUGGUGGUUUAUAACCCUAAGGUUGUCUAUGAGCAUUAGAUUAUGACUGAUUGCCAAACUUCCAAGCUUGAUUCUGCUGUCUCAACUUAGGACACUGAGCCUUCCAAUGACCUUUCUGCUUAUAGAAACUGCACUCAUCGAAGCCAACCUUUGUGUAAGGCUUAUUUUGAUGAUUAGAGAAUGGCUUAGAAGGCACUGCUAAUACUGAAGGAUUCAAAGCAUAAAAAAUUCCCUUUUCAGAAUAAGACUGAAAAUGUAUUUCUUCAGCCAAUAACUCACUAACAACAGAGUCAACAGAAGGCAAUGGAGAACGAUGCAGAAUUGAACCCCUAAGUCCUUCGAAAUCACUGCGAAGUACUGUUAAAAACUGUACCAAUCGUUGUUGCUCUCUACGCUCAAUAUAGGCACCACAUGCCUUUAAUUCUGCCGAUUCUGUAAGAGCCAAUUGAUCCCAAAGAUCUGUCAUAGCAGAAUAAAACUCUUGGAUACUCAUAUUCUUCUGAUGAAGAGCUCGUAUGUCAUUCUCUAAUUGAUACUGUUUUGCAAAUUUUGAUUGUGUGAAUAACCUUUGCAGAUGAUCCCAAACCUCUUUUGCUGUCUCAUACUUUGCCAACUGCAUACCUAUCGAAUGCUCAACAGAAUUGUUGAUCCAAGUAAUGAUCUUUGCAUUAUUUGCUUCCCAUGUAUCUAUCAAAACAACAUCUCCCUCCUCAACAUUCUUAGGUAUCAUAUAAGUCCCACUAACAUACCCCCACAUCUUCUUAUCCUUAAGAAAAUUUCUCAUCACAUAACUCCAAUACGAAUAAUUCUUCCUAUCCAACCUCACACUCACAGACUGAAGUGAAUCAUCUCUUUCAGUAGCCAUAAUCAGCAAUCACAAAUAACCAGAAUGCAAAAGCAGCAGAAACAAAAUACAAAAUUGCAGAAACUAAACAAAUCUCUUCUCGAAAUUAUACGAUUACUCCAAAACACAAAACAAAUUUGCAAAAAUUGAACGCAAAUACCAAAUUGCAGAUGCUGAAGGGAAGACGAAAUACCAAAAUAAUUGCAGAAACUGUCGAAAUACCAAAAUAAUUGCAGAGACUGUCGAAAUACCUAAUUUUGCAGAAGCGGAAGACAAAAUAUCACUCCAAAAAAAAAUUGCUAGAAUCAGCUCGUUUUGUCGAAAUACCAAAAAAAUUGCUAAAAUUGCAGAGACUGUCGAAAGUUGGAUCCGCGAAGCUGUAUUUGGGAUUAAGCUUCGUUUCAUAAAAUCAGCUCUGAUACCAUGUUAAACUUAUUGAGAUCAAACAUAAAAAGGAGGCUAGAAUUCUGAAUAAUCUGUAUAUUAUGAAUGCAUAGUCUUAACCUAAAUACAAAUAAAGUAUAUAUAGGUUAAACUGAAAGUACUAUUCUACCCUUAAUAAAUAAGACUACAUAAAUAUUAUUUAACACGUCUCACUUAGAUUUUUAGAUUUAGUUUUAACACAAAUAUCAAUGUUAUCAAACUGAUUUGAUUUGGUAAUUCAAUGUUAUAAAACCUGAUUUGAUUUGGUGAUUCAUUCAUUCAAAACUUGAUUUAAUUUGAAUUAGAUAGAAAUUAACCUAGUCAUUUCUUUUAUCAUAUCUUAUCGCCUUGAUAAAAAACUAAAUUUUAUUUAAUUUUAAAAGAAUAAUAUAAAAUGAUGUUAUUUAAAAAAAAAUUAAAAUGAUAUUAUUUUAGAUUGGUUUAGGUUUAGUCAAGCUAACUCUUCCAACUCAUAACCCAGUCCUUAAACUAAACCAACUUUUAUAACUAAGUAUUUUUAAGAAAUUAGCCCAAUUCUCUUUUGAUUAAAUAUGUGAAGGUGGUGAUACUCCCAUUUCACUGUUCUUUCUGUUCUCUAUAGUAUUAUGCCAUGAGUGCACCAGAGAUUUUAUGAAGAUGAUAAGAUGUAAGUGAUACAUAAUUAAUCAAUCAAAUUAUUACACCACAAUAAACUUUUGACAAGUUAAGAGUCAUAAGAAUUCGACAAGUAGUUAGAGUAAGAAGAAUAAAAUGAGAAAACUAAAAUAGAUUAGAUUAGUGAAUAAUUUAUAAAGCAUUGAUUAAUACAAAAUAUCGUGUUUCAAUAAAGAGAAAGCUUGAUGAUAACUUGUAGAAUUCACAAACACGUACGAUCCUGCCAAAACAUUUUAUUUUUUAUUUUUGGAAAGAUGAUUUUGAUAUAUAAUUUGCUAUAAAAUUAGCAUAUCGCUCAAUAUUAUCCUGCCAAAACAGCUAGCCAGAUGCAUGAACCAAUUUAGUAGUAAUUAUCACUAAUUCAUUGUAGCGAGCCAAGUGCAGUUUUGGCUAAAUAUACAAGGAAGAAACCCUUGAAACGGCACAACCAUUCGCUAUAUAACACGAAGAGCCACCAUAUACUAAAGCCUAUAUAUAAGUAAGUUGGAUUUGCAUGAAUACUAAAAAACAAUCCAAACUAAACAGAUCAAAUUAAAUCUUCUUGCAGACAUGAUUUCUUUCACCAGCCAUUUCGCCCUACUGAUAUUAUUAUCUCUGUUGCUGCUGAUCAUAGCUACGUGUGAUGCUGCAGGUUGUCUAUGGAAACCAACACGUUUGAAUAUCAAUAAUGACUUAGGCCCGGGCUUGGACCUUACAAUCCAUUGCAAAUCCAAAAACAACGAUCUUGGGCAGCAUGUAGUGUUACUUUUAAGGCUUUAGGGUUGGAUGUAUCCUCUGCUUCUUAUUUUUCUUCUCCUGUGGAGGGAUGCCUUAUAUAGGCAAAUAUAUAUGUCGGUUACAUCUUUCCUAUUCUGAAAGGAAUACUGCAAUGUAUAUCCUUUCAGGACUCCUAUAGAGUAUGUCUUUUAUAUAUAGAAAACUACCAUCUAAUUCAGCUAAUUACAUGUUAACACUUCCCCUCAAGUUGGUGCGAAGAUAUCUUCUAAGCCUAACUUGUCUAGAGACUUAUGAAGAGCUUCUGCAGGGACUGCAUGGGUUAGAAUAUCUGCUAGUUGCUCACUUGAUCUGACGAAAGGGAUGUCCACUAACUUUAGAAGUAACUUUUCCUUGAUGAAGUGUCGAUCUACCUCAAUGUGUUUAGUUCGAUCAUGUUGUACUGGAUUAUUAGCUAUCUCUCGUGCUGCUGAUUGUCACAGUAUAGUAACAUAGGGUCUUUGGGUUCAAAACCAAUUUCUGUGAGUAAGGUCCUGAGCCAUAACAGUUCGCAUAUUCCAUGUACCAUCCCUCUAUAUUCUGCUUCUGCUGAGGACCUUGCUGUCACAUUUGUUUUUUACUUCGCCAUGUGACAAGAUUUCCUGCAACAAAUGUAAAAUAGCCAGAGGUGGAUCUCCGGUCAGUGAGAUUUCCUGCCCAAUCUGCAUCAGUAAAUCCUUUCACUUCCAUAGUUCCAUGUCUUUUAAAUGUCAAUCCUCCUGGAGCCCCUUUUAGAUAACUCAGAAUUCUCAUUACAGCUGUCAUAUGAUCUUCACUUGGAGCAUGCAUAAACUGACUUACCACACUAACCGCAUAGGCAAUGUCUGGGCGAGUGUGAGAUAAAUAAAUUAACCGCCCUACCAAUCGCUGGUAUCUUUCUUUGUUUGUUGGUACCUGAUCUGGGUGAAUGGCCAAUCGAUGAUUUUGAACAAUAGGAGACUCUACUGGUUUGCAUUCUAGCAUGCCCGUUUCAGAUAAUAGGUCCAGUAUAUACUUUCGUUGUGACAAGUAUAUACCAUCUUUAGUUCUUGCAACUUCAAUUCCCAAAAAUAUUUCAGUCCUCCUAAUCUUUCAUUUCGAAUUCGGUAGACAAACAUUCUUGUAGCUUUUUUAUUUCAUCUGUGUCAUCACCAGUUACGAUCAUAUCGUCUACAUAAAUAAUGAGCAGUGUAACUUUACCAUUCUUCUGUUUGAUGAAUAGAGUGUGAUCAGAGUUACCUUGGUGAUAACCAAUUCGUUUCAUAGCUUCUGUGAAUCUCCCAAACCAUGCUCUUGGCGAUUGCUUCAAGCCAUACAAUGCUUUUCGUAAUCUACACACUUUUCCACUAGAUUGUGAGCUGUUAAACCCAGGUGGAAGUUGCAUAUAGACUUCUUCUUCCAGAUCCCCAUGGAGAAAUGCAUUUUUCACAUCAAAUUGCUUCAAAGGCCAACUGAAAUUUGCUGCUAAAGACAACAAGACUCUGAUGGUGUUCAUUUUUGCAACUGGAGCAAAAGUUUCUUGAUAGUCAAUGUCGAAUGAUUGUGUGUACCCCUUUGCUACUAGCCUUGCCUUGAACCGAUCAAUUGUGCCGUCUGCUCUAUGUUUAAGGUUGAAUAUCCACUUGCAGCCCACUGGUUUUUUUCCUGGAGGGAGUGAUACAAUACUCCAUGUGUCAUUUCUUUGUAAUGCACUAUUUCAGCCUCCAUUGCUUCUGCCCAUUUCGGGUGUUGUAAGGCAUCCUCAACCUUUGUAGGUAUUCUUAUAUUCGCCAUCUCACUUAUGAAGGCUUGAUGCUGUGGAGGUAGUUUGUGUGUAGAGACAUACUGUGUGAUUGCAUAUUUUGCUUUUCCAUUCGGUGAGUACCUGUCAGGGGCCUUUCCACGGUUCUGUCUAGGAGGGAGAGAGUAGCAUGGGGCAGAUAAUAAAGGGAAAGAGGAAGGGCUUUCAGUGUCACUUACCUCAUGGAUAUCCGAUCGAUCUUGAACAUGGAUUUGUGGAGAGGAAGGGGUUAUUUCAUCAUGCAUGUAUUCUUCUUCUGCAUCACUGCUGCUAUGUGUAUUGUACUCUAUGUGUUCUUUCCCUGCAUUGCCCGUUGCAGUUGUUCUGGAGCUGGGCUCUGUAUUUCCUUCCCCAACAUUACUAAUUGUGUGUGUACUGGUUUCCAUUUCUUCCCCUGAAGUUGACUGUUGCUGCUCCGUAUUUCCUUCCCCUGAAUAUGUGUUUCCUUCCCCUGAAUCCAACUGAAGAUCAAUCCAGUUGUAGGCAUCAUAUUGCAGCUCCCCCUGAGGACUAGAGCUGGAUGGAUUCAUAUGGAAAAAAUAUUCUGUUUCAGAGAAGGUAACAUCCAUACUGACAUGCAUCUGGCGAGAAGAAGGAUGGUAGCACCGGUAUCCCUUUUGGUGAGGAUUGAAACCAAGAAAGACACACCGUACUGCGCAUGGUUCCAGUUUUGUGCGCUGAGUUUUCUGCAGGUGAACAUAGGCUACACAUCCAAACACACGGGGUUCUAAGUGUAGGAGGGAUGGAAUCUGAAUGUGUUGAGUGAGAGUCUGCAAGGGAGUGCUGAAGGAGAGGACUUGGGAUGGCAUCCGGUUGAUGAGAUACACAGCAUAGGUUACUGCAUCAACCCAAUAAUGUUGAGGGACAUGGGCACCAAUGAGAAGAGCUCUAGUAGUUUCAAGAAUAUGCCUGUUUUUGCGUUCUGCCACACCAUUUUGUUGUGGAGUGCGCGGGCAAGUAGUCUCAUGGAGAAUACCAUUGUUUUGAAAGAAACUCAAGAGUUCAGAGUUAAGAUAUUCUCCACCAUUGUCUGAUCGAAUAAUCUUCACCGGCAGGGAGAACUGAGUGCACACCAUGCGAUAAAAAAUUGGGAAUAUAUUACGCACAUCACUCUUGUGUCGCAUAGUAUAUAACCAAGUCAUUCUGGUGCAAUCAUCGACAAAUGUAAGAAACCAUCGAAUUCCAGAUUGGGAAGUAAUUGGAGCAGGUCCCCAAACAUCAGAGUGGAUCAAUUCAAAAGGCUUUGUUCUUUUAUUCAAGUUUACAGGAUAUGAAGUUCGAUGGCUCUUGGCCAAGAUGCAAACAUUACACUUAAGAGAGGAACUUGGAUCCGGAAUGUCAUCAAAGAGGGAAGGAAAUAAUUUUUUUAAGUAGCCAAAGGAUGCAUGACCCAGCCGACGAUGCCAUAACCAAAUUUUCUUGUGAUUAUUACCAUUGUGACUCUGAACUUGAUGGACGUGACCUGAAGCUACGUCAUCUACAUAGUAUAACCCUUUCCUCUUAGUACCACGUCCAAUGAUCGCUUGAGUCCGGAUAUCCUGAAGUAAGCAAAACGUGGGAAACAUUAAUACCACACAAUCCAAUUCUUCUGUAAUUUGACUAACAGACAGUAAAUGAUUUGAAAGUGCAGGGACAAGUAAACAAUUAUGUAGUGAAAGAUCAGGAGUGAGAACAAUUGAUCCUGCUCCAAUGACUGGGGUAGACUCCCCAUUGGCUGUCAUGACCUUUUCCUUAGACGGGGGAGUCAUGUAUUGAAAUAAUGAUUUGUUAUACGUCAUAUGAUCUGUGGCACCCGAGUCAAUGAUCCAACCUGUAUCAUGAACCGUGGAUGUCGACAAAACCACUCCAGUUUUACCUGUCGCUGAAGUCUGGUCAGUUUUCGUUAAGGAGAGCAAUUCAUCCGGUUUAGUGUGGUCUUUUUUUCUUAUUGCCAUGGCAGCAAAACUGGAAGGAAUUUCUGUUGCAGUGGUUAAUUUUGCUUGGACUGGACGUUUAUUACUUCUUGCUUUACUUUGCUUCUGUUUUUCUAGAAACCAGUCAGGGUAGCCAUGAAUCUCAAAACAAGUGUCUCUGGUAUGGCGACUUCCAUUACAAUGGCUGCAGCGCAACUUGUCUUUUUCUGCUUCCUCAAUAGCUCGAAGAGUGCGCAUGUUAGAAGGGGUGGUGGAUUUGGAAAUCAUUGCAAUUGAUGAACCUUCACCAGUGUUUUUUGCUCCCAGCAUGGUGACUUGUCGCUGAGCCUCCCUUCGAAUUGUAUUGAAGCACUCUUCAAUACUUGGAACAGAUUUUUUUCGAAGGAGAUCACUGCGUAUUGAAUCAAAAACUUCAUCCAAACCUGCAAGAAAGUCAUAGAUCCGGUCCUUUUGAAUUUCUUCUUGUCUGGUUCUAAGAUCUGCAGCACAUAUCAUCUUAAUUGGUCGUCGCUUGUCAAUUUCCUGCCAUACACUAUUCAGCUCUGCGUAAUACAAGUUAACUGGACGCCCAUUCUGUUUCGUCCUCGUGGCUUUGCAGCGUAGCUCAUAGAAUUGUGACUCAUCAGCCCCAUCAUAAAAGGUUUGAGUGACACUAUCCCAGAUUUCCUUGGCUGAUGACAGGUCUAUAAAUAAACCAAUAAGAUGAGGCUCCAUGGUUUUCAACAACCAUCCUCGUACCACUGCAUCUUCAGUGCACCACUUUGAGUAACCAGAAUUUCCUUCUUCCACUCUAGCAUUCUGCCCAGUUAAGUAGCCAAGUUUGUUCAAUCCAGCAGCAUGCAGUUCAAGCAUACGUGACCAGAUUUUGAAGUUUGUCUCAUUCAAUUUAAAUCCAAAGGGUAAGGUGUUUGGGUUAGGUGUUUCAGCAGAGAAUGAAGUUUGGUUUAUAGGGAUAAUAGAAGUAUUUGUGUCAUCCAUGGUUGGUCUCUUGUUUCAAGACCAAUUCCCAGGAGAAGAUUAAUGUGGCGGCUGAAAAGUUAAAGGAAGAUUUUAGCUUUCAACCUUGCUCUGAUACCAUGUUACUUUUAAGGCUUUAGGGUUGGAUGUAUCCUCUGCUUCUUAUUUUUCUUCUCCUGUGGAGGGAUGCCUUAUAUAGGCAAAUAUAUAUGUCGGUUACAUCUUUCCUAUUCUGAAAGGAAUACUGCAAUGUAUAUCCUUUCAGGACUCCUAUAGAGUAUGUCUUUUAUAUAUAGAAAACUACCAUCUAAUUCAGCUAAUUACAUGUUAACAUGUAGUCCCUUUUGGUGGCGAAUAUACAAUUGAUUUUUGCUCCAACUUUUGGAGAAGCACACUGUUCUUCUGUGGCGUGUCAUGGUCAGGAAAAUCCCAUUGGUUUGAUGUCUACGAUGCUUCCAGGGAUUCUAGUCGCUGUGGAAAUUGCAAGUGGACAAUACAUGCAACUGGGCCAUGCAUGGAUUAUUAUAAUUAUUAUACAAAGGAAUUUGUAUGUUAUCCUUGGAAUGACAAGGCAUAUCUUCAGUAAAGCGCUAGUUACAUAGCUCUAUAUAUCUCCUGUGUUCAAUUUACUAGCUGCAUAAAGCGGAGACCACAAAAAAAAUAAGUUUACUAUGUAUUAUUGAGUUUCUCCACUCAUUAGGAGUGUUUUCCUUUCAUGAUUUGCAUAUAAUUCUUUCCAAGGAAUAACACUAUUUUGGUUGUGAUAAUCAUGAUUUGCCGUUGAUUACAAAGUUUAGAUGAGACGUACAUUUGUUGUAGUUGUGCGAUAGAAUAUCAUUAGUCAAUAUAUCCGUGUUACGAUAUGCAAUGUUUAUUUGGCAAGUGGACGAUGGAUUAAUUAUGUUAAAGGAAAACCACUUAUUAGUUGUUAAUUAUUUAUAUAAGUUCUCGAUUAAGUCCCCAAACUAUCAGUUUUAUUAUUUGAUGAUCCCUAUAAUCUAUAUACUUUCGACCUAUUAAUUAGUUGUUAAUUAUAAUCGUUAACAUGAUUGACUCGAUUAGGUUUUUAAUAACCCAGUUAAAUCAAUCGAUGCAAACUUUAUCAAAUUAAUAUCAAGAAUUGUUUUUUAAAUAAAAAAAUUAAAUAUCAUUUUAAUAAAUAAAAAAUAGUUAACUCAGUGAUUUAGUACCUCUACCCUUUUCUAUAACAAUACCCCAAAUCAAGUCUGAUGAUUAUGGCUAUCACUGUGCAAAAACUAAAGUUAAAGUAUGAAAUUGCUUAAAUAUAUAUUCAUGCCUAAUAUUGUCGGCGAGACAAAUUUUCUGAUGAAGGACAUUUUUUUUCAGAUUUUCCUUAAAUAUUGGGUGAGCAACUGGCUCUAUUACAGUAUUUCUAUCCAUACAAUUUAGGAAAAGAUAACAAUAUUUCUAAAUAGACUAAUAUUAAUUUGUUGUUGUUCAUAUUCAUGACAACUACGAUGAUGCUAGCUAGAAAGCAGAAAAGAAAAGAAAAGAAAUUAAGAGAUUUAUUAAGAAUACAGAGUACCAUCCAAUUGUUUUCAAAUUCGUGGAACCAAGAUUUCAUUUGUAAGAAAUACAAUAUAUACAAGUAUAGUUAAGAUAUAAUUAAUAGUUAAUGACAGACAAAUUACAAGGAAAAGGACAGCUGUUAGGCCUGUGUAUCUAGUAUGGAAUUUAAUCACACAAAUACAUAGAUUUAAUCAUCCUUAAUUUCUUGAUUGUGGAAGGUCUCUCUAAUCCAAAAGGUGCAAGGCCCCUAAUCCAAAACGUGUUCACGUAAUAAAAUACUUAAAUUAAUUGCCAUGUAUAUCGUCCUGAAUUAAUCGUCCUAGCUUGUAGGCAACAACAAAGCAUGCAUGCAUGUAUGGCAAGAAGCAAUAAAUAGAAAUUAAUUAAAACAUCAGAAUUGAAUGUCACUACGUAUUCGAUGUUGCUAACACGGAUCAUCAGAUCCCAGAUCACAGCUGGAAAAUACAGGGGGGAAAGGGUCUUACAUCUUCACCAUGCAUGUAGGCAGCCUAUAAAUAAAAAAAAUCAAAAUCAAGAUAUUAUACAAAAGAAAAACUCUUAAUAUCAUACAAGCAUGAAUCCCUUUAUCACAAGGCAUUUCGUUCUGCUAAUAUCAUCUUUGUUACUGGUCUUUACUGCUUGUGAUGCAUUUUGUUUUCUUCGAACAAGUGUAAAUUUGAAGAUCACAAACCAGUUGGGUUCAGGCCUGGACCUCGCCAUCCACUGCAAAUCGAAAGAUGAAGACCUUGGCGUGCACGUAGUCCCUUUUGAUGGCUAUUACACACUGAGUUUUUGUUCCAAUGCUUGGGGAACUACACAAUACUUCUGCGGCAUGACAUGGUCUGGUAAACUCCAUUGGUUUGACUUCUUCAUCGCUAGAAGGGACUCUUUUCGCUGCGGUAACUGCACUUGGAGAAUACUUCCAAGAGGCCCUUGUAUGACUUACAAUAUUGGCGAGUUAAGAGAGUACAAAUGUUACCAUUGGAAUGGCGAUCAGGUACUUUAGAAAUCUCGUAGCAUAAAAUAGAGUUAAAUCUAUGUACUCUCCUAUACUCCCAUGUAUUUGACUCAGUGAAUAAAUUUAUUUUUCUUGUUUUUGCCUUCUAAUUAGCAGUUUUAUUUGCCAUUGUAAGAAUCUACUCUAGGCCAUGACUAAUUAAGUUCCUAAAAGUACAAAUUAUGAGCUGUUGAUCUGAUGAGAUUAUGCAAUUUAUCAAAUGGUGAUUAAAACCGAAAUCAGAGAUUAUGCAAUUUAUCAAAUGAAUAAGAUCAACAUUAAAAGUAGUUAAAUCAAACUAAUUAAACGUUUAGUACGUACCUCAAAAACAUGGCCUCCAAAAUUAAUUAAUACAUAAGCAAGCAAUCGAGUAAUGAUAAUAUUAUUAUGGAAUUCAUUUAUUGAAAAAACAUCAAUCACGUAAUGUAUUUUUGACUUUCCAACUUUGAAAUACAAGGAGCCUGAGAGGAAAAGGUGUUACCAUCAAUUUGGAAAUAUUACACGCACUUCCAAAUCAAUAAUUUUAGGGUUUUUUUUUUAAAUAUUGAAGCAAUAUUUGAUUAUUUUCUUGAAAUAAAAAAAUAUAAAUAAUUAGAACAGAAAAACAUGUUUUUUUCUCUUUUAUGUUUUGAAAAGAUAGAAAAUCGUUUAAACUAAUUCAUAGACAGAUUUAGUUUCAUAGCAAUGUGGUAGUGAAUAAAAAAAAUCAAUAGUUUCAGGGGUGAUGAAAUUUGGAAAGGAGGUUAAGUCAUCAUGAUUAAUUUUCUUCGUCUUCUCUGUUCAAUGAAAUAGAAAUAAAUAACAAUGAAUACUUGGAGCUCUUGAGUUUGAACUAUAAUGAGUUAUUUCUUCUUAAAAUAAGAAAUAAAAAUAUAUAUAAUGGAUUAUUUAUUCUUAAAAUAAUGUUUGAAAAAAAUACUCGCCAAUGAAAAUACUGUCGGUAGAUAAUAGACUUUGGGCUUAUAAUAUAGUUAUGAAUCUAUUACUUAAUUUAUGGAUUUCAUUUAAUAAGGAAAUAAAUAAGUUUAUAUAUACACAACACGUCAUCUAUGACUUUAUUGGCUUUGGAGGUGUCCAGUCCACCAUUACUGUUUUCUGCGUGCCCACUUGAUUCUGCACAAGCUUUCUCACUCUUGAUCUUCCCAUUUCUGAAUUAUAUAUACACAUGCUGAUGGCCUUUUCUUUUUCUUUUUCUUUUUUCUGUUUUUUUUUUUAAUUGCCUUGCUGCUUUUUCUGUAGUUGAAGUUCGUCCUGUUAAAAAAAAAAAAAUUACAUAAAAGUGACGGUAUGUUCUGAAUUAGCUUUAAUAAAAAUGACACCGAGUCAAGCAUUUCAAGACGGUCAUUGUUUCUCAUUAUUUAGCAUAGUUUCUCGUUACUUGGCUUUGCCUGUUUCAUUCAUUCAAAUGGAUAAUCAUUACUUCCUUUUUAUAUAUUGUGUUUCAAAUUAAAAGGCAUUAUUUUUUAUAUUUUUAGUUUUAAUCAUAAUUUUAAUAUUUUUAAGAGUAUUAGUAGAUGUUGUAUUUUAAAAUAUUUUUAUAUAAAAAUAAUAUUCUUUCAAAACUAAUUAAACGUUUAGUACCUCAAAAACAUGGCCUCCAAAAUUAAAUAAUACAUAAAUAAGCAAUCGAGUAAUGAUAAUAUUACAUGGAAUUCAUUUGUUGAAAAAACAUCAAUCAAGUAAUGUAUUUUUGACUUUCCAACUUUGAAAUACAAGACGCUUGAGAGGAAAAGGUGUUACCAUCAAUUUGGAAAUAUUACACGCACUUCCAAAUCAAUAUUUUUAGGGGGUUUUUUUCAACGUUAAGGCAAUAUAUAUUUGGUUAUUUACUUGAAAUAAAAAAAAUAUAUCUAGACAAUUAAAACAGGAAGAACAUAUAUAUCCUCUCUUUUAUAUAUGUUUGAAAAAAUCAUUAGUUUUUUCAUUUAAACAUGUUUUCGUGGUUGAUGGGUGAUAAAUUUAUCUGAUAUUAUGAUAGAUUUUAUUGUUAUGGUUUGAUAAUUUAUAAUUGAAAAAUUUAUAAAUUAUGAUUUUUUUUAGAAUUUUAAAUGAGAUCUUUGUAAGAUUCUAGUAGUAUAUAUUGAUUAGCUAAAUAUUUGUAAGACUAUAGUUAAAAUAAAAUGUAAUUUUAUUCACAAUUCAUACAAACAUGGUAUAAAUGUUUUUAAUUAGACGAAUUUCCAUAGGAAAUAGGCUCCAACCUUCUUUGCUUGCCUGUUUCAUUCAAAUGGAUAACCAUUACUUGAUUCUACUUCAGGGGAAGUCAACGUCAAGGAAAUCAAAUUGUUUGGUUCAAAGGAGUGGGACAAGGCCACUGAUCAUUACAAUGUGAAUAAAACGCUUGGCCAGGGAGGCCAAGGUACACUUUACAAUUGUUGGUCUAUGAAUUCAUUCCUAAUGGAACCCUUUUCCAGUUUCUUCGGGCCAAAAAUUAUUGUAUUUUUUUAAUGUAAAAUUAGAAAAAAGUUAUAUUUUUUGAAUGUGGGAUAUAAAUUUUUUAUUUAAAUAAUUCAACUUAAAAUGAUAAGAUAAUAUCUUUUAAUGUGAAAUUUAAAGCCUUUUAAUCAUAGUUUUAAAACUCGGACCGGCCCGGCGGGUUAACCCGGGACCCAGUCGACCCGGGCCUGGAACCGGUCCGGGUGGAGGCAAAAACCCGCUUGGGAAUUGGCCCGGGGAAACCCGGUCCACUCGGUCAAACCCGGGUAAGACCCGGUCACUUUUUUUCCUGUUAGUCUUCUUCACAAUCAAUGGGUCUUAAUCACUUGCUCCUGUUUCCCCAAUCCUUGCCCUUCCUUCCACCCCAUCUUCUCCAUCAUCCUCUGCGCCGCAGUCUGUUAGGGUUUAUAUAUUUUUCCUUUCCUUGCCUUUCCUUUUUAUAGAAGAAUGGCAGAACGGAGAACUUCGUGGUUCUUCACUUGCUAGAAGUCACUCGUCACUCUCUCUCCUUUUCCCUCAAGUCACUAACAGAUCCGAUCUAGGGUUUCAUUUCUUCCAUUAAAAAUGGCAGUCGCUGCACAGACACCUGAUAUUCUUGGCGACAGACAGUCCGGCCAGGACAUUCGUACUCAAAAUGUGGUGGCCUAUCAAGCAGUCGCCAAUAUCGUUAAAUCCUCACUCGAUCUUGUUGGUCUCGACAAGAUGCUUGUAGAUGAUAUCGGAGACGUAACAAUCACCAAUGAUGGUGCUACUAUUCUUAAGAUGUUAGAAGUCGAGCACCCUGCUGCUAAGGUUCUAGUGGAGUUGACUGAGCUGCAAGACCGAGAAGUUAAAUUCUUAAUAAAUUCGGUUUGUUAGGGUUUUUUAAAAUAGUUAAUGGUGAUGUGAGCAGAAGAAAUUAAUGAAUGUGGUGUUAGUUUUGUUUAAUUGUAACUUUUUUUUUGGGUUGACCCGGGUUAACCCGGGUCAACCCAUCUGACCCGUGACCCGAUCACUCUACCGGGUCGAUGACCGGGUCGGGUUUCAAAACUAUGCUUUUAAUAUAUAUACUCUAUGUUUACAAGAAAAAAUUUAUUUUUUCAAUAUGGAAUUUGAAGCCUUUUUGUAUAUAUACUCUAUGUUCACAAGAAAAAAGUUAUGUUUUUUAAUGUGGGAUAUAAUUUUUUUUAUUUAAAUACUUCAAUUUAAAAGAAUAAAAUAAUAUUUUUUUAAUGUGAAAUUUAAAACCUUUUAAUAUAUAUAAAAUAUUACAAACCUGUAAUAUCGAAAGGAUUUUCAUUGUUGACCUUGCAGCUCUUCUCUCUCUCUCUUAUUCUCUUCACGUGCUCUCUACAUUCUCUCAUUUUGCUCUCAAAUAAUGCCUCUAUUUAUAGGCAUCUGUCGCACGUGUGCGGCAGCGCGGCGAUCGUCCACCAUCAAGGAAAUAUCGGAAUAUUUAUUCUUUGAAAAUAGGGAGAGACAAGGAAUUCUUGUCUCUACAAGUGAAAAUAUGGACUGGGAGUCGCCACCUAGUAUUCUGGUUACUAGGAACCCUAACUGGUCUCAGAGAUGGGGUACGGAGACUGGUUGCGUAAAGGGAAGGUAUUAGCACCCCAACUACGCCCUACCUAAGGUAAGCUGCAUUGUUUUGUCUGAUAAAAUCUAAAGUCGUGUUAUGGUUUGUAAUUGUUUGGAAUACGCAUUACAUGUAAUGUCAUACCCCAGGUUCGAGUGUCCGUAAAAAAAAGAAAUUAAAUAUCUGGAAUAUGCAUUACGUGUAAUGUCAUACCCCGGAUACCAAGAGACAAACAAAAUAAAAUUUUUGUUGUUUUUUGAAAUUUUGGCCAAUAUUCUCUUGACUUUAAUAAACUGGUUAUUAAAGUCAAAAUGCAUGCUAAAAUAUUGUUUUUUGACAUAUGAAAAAUACGAUAUGAUUUUUAGAUUUGAGAUACUUGGCCGUAUGCACAAAAACAUUUUUUAUCUUUUUUCAAUUUUUUUUUAUUUUUGAAAGUUUUUGCCGAAAACCGGGUAUUUUAAUACCGGAUUUAUAUAAAAAUACUGCCCGAUAUUAACCAAAAUGACAUAAAAUUACGCGGAAAAAUUAUAAAAUGCUAAAACAAAUAUUUUUGAUUUUCUUUAUGCAUGUGUGAACAGUACCCUACGAAAACCAGGUAUUUUAAUACCGAAUUUAUAUUUUUACGAUGUAAAAUAUAGACCGAUAUUAAGCAAAAUUGAUAAAAACAUGUGCUGAAAAAAUUGUAAAAAUUUUAUAUGUAAAACAAAUUUAAAAAAUUGAAAUGGGGCGGACCCAGCCCAUAUCAGUGGGCUGGGCCAACCCGGCCCAUUACCAAAUGGGCUGGUUACUGUGCAUAAGCACAGUAACCAGCCUCUCAUCAGUUGCAGAACAUGAAUUAAUUCACGUUCUGCAUGAAAAUAAAAGAGAGAAGGCAGCAGCAAAAGGAGAAGGAGACGGGGCAACGGGGUUACCUGCGGUGGCGUCGAGGCGGUGCUGCUGGUGGAAGCGGAGGCGAUGGUGGCGAAGGCACGAUGGUUCUGCGUUUCCCUUCUCUCUCUCUUCUGUUUUUCUUCGUUUUCUUUUCUGCUGCUUCUUCUUCUUCUUCUUCCCUGCCCUCUCCCUUCUCUUCUCUUCUCUCUCGGUUCGUCUCCCUCUUCUCUCUCCCUCGGUCUCCCUUCUGUCCUCUUUUUUUCUUCUCCUUUUCGGUGCCCCUCCCCUGUUUUUAUAGGCAAAAACAGGGGGGUGGUGUCGUGGUUGGGCGGCCACUGUCGGCCGCCCCCUCCACUAUCGAUCAGUGGAGAAAAAGGACGCAAGUGGGCGCCGAAUGGUGGGCGUCUUUUUGAAGCCAUCAGGGAAAGAAGUUCGACAAAAAGUGGAGAAGACAAAAAAAAUCUUCUCCCCUGUUCUCUGCGUGCGCAGGGAAGAAGACAAUGGUGCCGUUUCAAAACGGCACUGUUUUGGGCUUCUGUUUUUUUUUUUUUUUUCAACAGUGAAUGAAACGGCGCCGUUUUGGUCAAAACACGCCGUUUCAUUUAAAAGAAAAAGGCGUCAAAACGCGUCAGAUUUCAAAGAAAGCCCUCAAUUUGCGCGCGUUUUACAAUUUCGUCCUUGGUCUCGGAUUUCUUCAAUUUAGUCCCUAAUUGGCCAUUAAACUUCAAUAUUUAUGCAAUUAAGCCCCUGAUUUGACCAAAUUAACUUCUAAAAAUUAUAAUUUGACCCCAGAAAAUUAAUUUCUUCCAAUUAAAGCCCAAAAUAACUCCAAAAUCAAUUGUUUUUGCAAUUAAAACCUCUAUAAAUUCAAUUAAACCUUCAAUAAAAUUUAAUUGAGUCCAUAAACUUCUAAUUUUGCAUUUUUCUUCCUCAAAUUGAAUUUUCUUUAUCAUCGGGGCUCGCAUCAGUCAAUGAUAUACUGUCAAAAAUUUAUUUUUAUAUUUUUGAACAUCCUCAAUCAAUUUUUGAACAUUUUUAGAGCUCUCGUAUUUUUUCACUGUUAUAUUUUUUUGAUAAUAUAUUUUUUGAAUUUGUUUUUUGUAUUUUAUUAUUUUUUAUGUGGGGACCCAGAAAUGGGUGACAACAGCAUCAAUGAUAAGACAAGAUGCCAUCAAUUAUGGCACAAAUAGUGGUAACACAUGGGUUGCAACAUUUUUGUCAAUGGUUGAUACAACUUCCAUUCUAGCCUUUUGACAAUAGCAACCCUACUUCUUAGGGUAGGUGCACAUGUUGUUGCCUAUUAAUGGCAAUAUCCCAACAAUUACCCCUUUUAACAUUUAUAUGGGCAAUUGUCCUCUUACUUCUCCAGCACAAACUUGCAUCUUACAGCUCUUCCAAGCUUACCAUUCCGAGAGUGUCUGUGACCAAGUGUACAAGUACUCGCCAAACCUUUCAAUCACUACAGUUGCCAAAGCACACCUUUUCUCACACCAAAGGAUUACUUCAACCAAAUGGUCUCCAACAUCACAUCUGAAAAGUGUUAACACUUAUCUCUAGGACACAACAUUCCCCUUCGAGCAUAUCAAUCAUGCUCGGUCUGGAAUGAUUUUUCAAGCCUCAUACCAAGGCUUACAACACCCCCUUAAACAGAUAUUCCCAAGUGCAACAGUCAUUAAGUAUUUCAAUGUGACCACGAGCUCACCACUAUUCCAAGAGUCUACUCAUUCCGGAGUUGCGUCUGCCCUUUGUUCCACCUUAGGAACCACGCCUUACUUCUCCAUGAGUCUAUUGCUCUUAGUCCUAAGAGUCUAGGUAGCUCUCCACCUUUAACCAUGGGGGCAGCCCAUUAAAGGUUGAUUCAUAUCUGUCUUCAUGCUCUGAGUAUUACAAUGUCAUCACCGAGCUCACUACCUUGACAAGAGUCAACUUGUUCCAAGAACCUGUGCAUGCCCUCUACUCAUUCCUAACAGUCGCGUCUUAAUGCUCCAUAAGUCAACCACUUAUUUUCCAAGGCAAACGUCUUCUAGCUCAUUGAUCUUUAGCAUGGGGGUAAUAUCCAUGAAAGUCAAUCCUGCAUUUGUCUUCAUACUCAUACUCAUCAUAGUCAUUUCAUUGGCUAUCCAUACACCUGUCCACUCAUAUCUAGCCAUCGUCACAUCGGCUCUAGGGCGUUCUGUAAUUGGGGCUCCUAUCAUGGCCCUCACACCUUCCAUUUGAGGUAUCUCCACUCGUCGUCAUACGGCGGUCUGAAUUUGGGCUCAUAUCGUGGCUCUCACGCCUUCUCCUGAGGUGUCUCUACUCGUCGUCAUGCGGCAGUCUGAACUUGGGCUCAUAUUAUGGCUCUCACACCUUCUGUAUAAGGUGUCUUCGCCUGUCAUGUGGUCGUCUCAUCCUCCUUUAUCAGGGAUAACUGUAGUGGCUCUAAGAUUCUCUACCACCAAGUGGACUUGGGAGAGAUCACUGCCACUAAUCACAUAGAAAGAGAAACUUGCAGUAUACUCCUCGUAAUCCUCCACCUCGAUUUCUAUGUUUGGAGCUUCUACGCCUUUCUGCUUAAUAACUCCACCUAUACCAAUUCUUUGGUGUCUUCGCCUUUCAUCAUAGGUGGUCACAUUUAUCAUAGGCGUUUGCACCCCCGCAAUUAGGUGCUUUUGCAACAGCUCAUCUUUUCAUCCUUACAUGCAUUGGAAAGGUCCUCGCUUGUUGCCUUUAUCAAGAGCACAAGAGACUUCCUAUUGUACAACUUUUCACACAGUCUCUGCUUUGAGCUUCAUCUGGGAACUAUUCUUCUCCUUGCACCUAUUGUCUCAUUACAGUACCUCGUUGGAUCCUCCGAGUACUCAUACACAAUCUCUGUGUGCCCUCGUGCAAUUUUUGUUCUCUAGAUUUCUCCUCAUUCCUUGCUUAUAUUUGACAGCAGCUUAUCCUGUCACAACACCUAUCCAAGUCAAAAUAGGAUGUCAAUCUUUAUCCCUUUGCUGAAUUUCUCUUCCAUUAUCAAGGUCUUCAUCAAUUCUCCCUUCGAGAAAUUACAGUCACCGAAUCUAACUUCUUUACAGAAAUCAUCACUCCAUCAGAUCCUUGAUCAUACGGAACCCAACUGUUCCCCUUGUGCCGUCAUCUGCUAGUCUUCACCAGUUUCAUUACAAACUGUUACAUAUACGAAAAUAGUACCGUAUGGAUAAUCCUUCAACUAAGCAAGUUCCCAAGAGAGAUUGGAGGGGUCACAACGAUCCCGCUUAAAACCCAAUCUCCUAGCCAGAACUUCCUAGGCCAUAUUUAUCCAUCGUACUGCCUUUCCGUAUAUACAACCAUUUGAUAGCUUUGUUGCGGCUUUCUUUUACAAGUGAUCUGGAAUAUUUUCUCAACAUCUAGCGAGACUACUAGUGCUUAGAUUCGUCAAGAUUGGUCUGCAUCAAUUUUCACUCUCCACCUCAAAUCGUCCACAUGAUCGGGUGUCUAGAGUAUCCCAAUUUUGCCUUCCUUUAAGGCAAUUAAAUUUCCCCACUAAACAAUUCAGCACACAUAAUUGGGAAAAUGUGUGCGACUUCUUCUUCUUCAUCUCCAUCAACCACCAUCAAGACCUUCAGAUGCCUCUUGAUCGAGCAAUCUCUCUUAAUAAUUCACCACCACCACUUUUGGUCUCAAAUCUUAACAAACGGACCAUACCAUUACAUUCAGAACGAUCAAAUUAGCUAGAAAUAAGUCUGAAAUCAUCCAAAUCGCAUUUCAAACGGCUAAGAUUUGAUCAAAACAAUUCUGACCAGAUGAGCGGCCCAGAUUCAAUCUCAGAUCCGGUUGCACAAAGACUCCGCUACACGGAACCCAAUCCCUCGACUCGCAGCUCGGCUCCAACUCGGCUCAGCUCCACCCGACUCGGCUCCAUCCAACUCGGCUCGAGGCUGAUGACAUGGCAUAUGGGUCCCACUAUGCAGACGUGUCUGCUGACUGGUCGCUGCCAUGGCAUGCUAACUAUGCAUGCUGACGCAUUGAUUACAUCAUGAUGAUGUCAUCCUCCAUCCCAGUCAUCAUGUGGGUCAGGUCGUCUGGUAUUCGGGUCGGGUCAGCCCAUCCGGAUGAAGAAGACGCGUGCGGCACGUGGGCAUCCAAUUCGCCGACGCAUGGGGGCACAUGCGGCCAUGUCCAAUGUCCGAUUUUGACACAGUUUUCACCAAUGGCUUCAUCUCUUCCGCCUCUAUACGAUGGUUUGGUCAAAACACAAUUUUGACAACUUUCAUUUUUGAUCAAAAAUCAAACACCACUUUAAACCAUAUGCUCUGAUACCAAUUGUUGAAGAAUCCGACCGGUGAUGUAUUGAUAGUUGCCCAUUGGAGGCUAAGCACACUGACACAAUAUUUAACGUGGUUUGGAAAACCGCCUACAUCCACAGGAGAGGUCCAUAUUAUUCGAGAUAGAGAAAGGAUACAAAACAAAUACAUGGAGGAGGAGGAUCACUUCACUCAAACUCGACAACCCAGCUUUCAUUGCUACCCUUGUAGCUCCUCUCUUUCUCUCUUAUUCUCUUCACAUGCUCUCUAUACUCUCUCAUUUUGCUCUUAAAUAAUGCCUCUAUUUAUAGGCAUCAAUGGUAAGACAAGAUGCCAUCAAUUAUGGCACAAAUGGUGGCAGCACAUGGGUUGCACCAUUUUUGUCAAUGGUUUGUGUAAUUUCUAUUGUAGCCUUUUGACAAUAGCAACCCUACUUCUUAUGGUAGAUGCACAUGUUGUUGCCUAUUAAUGGCAAUAUCCCAACAAUUAAGAAUCUUAACAUCAAUGGUAUCAUCUUCCAAAUCAAUGAUGUUCCUCUUUUCCCUAAUGCAUUGUAGGGCAUAUUCGCUACAAAGAGACGCAAGAUCUGCCUCAAAAUACCCCUGAGUUCCCUUUGAGAUCUCUGUGAAAGAUUGUAGAUCGGUUGCUAGCAAUAACCCUAUUUUGAGGCAGCUUUUCCUUCCGAAACUGACCUUAGCAAAUGAAUGCCAAAUUAAGAUCUUAAACGAGGUAGUUUUAGCGAAAGGAAUGCUAAAACAAGUUCAUUAUUUGUACGCAGAUAAAAACUAGUUCAUUAUUUGUCAUUAUCUGUGACUCGCAAUAAGCAAUGGAUCAUUAAAUGACCCCAACAACAGCAUCACCCUUUUCAAUACAAAGGUAUCGUGUCUCGCGUCUAUGCAUUCAUUUUAUGUAACUGGAAGAUUCCAGUUUACUGGGUUUGUUUUUGUGGCAACAGAGGUUUCUUUAUGAUCUUCAUGGUUAGAAGACCCGGCCUCGUGAGUGCAGGGUCGAUUGUAUCAGGCCUGUUGGUAGCACCAAUUACGAAGACGGUUUUCUUGGCUGAUAAACCAUCCAUAUCUCAGUUAGGAGUUGGUCCAAAACUCUAUCCGCGGCACCACCAGCAUCUCCUACACUGUUUCCUCUUUGAAUAGCAAUGGAGUCAAGUUCAUCGAAAAAUAGGACACAAGGAGCAGACUGGCGUGCCUUGUCGAAAACAUCCCUUACAUUGGCUUCACUCUCUGCAAACCACAUCGUUAGAAGCUCAGGACCCUUGAUACUGAUGAAAUUAGCUUGACAUUCAUUGGCAAUAGCCUUAGCCAGCAAUGUUUUGUCACAGCCAGGAGGACCAUAGAAAAGAACUCCAUUAGAAGGUGACAUGCCAAACUUCUCAAACUUCUCAGGAUGCUCCACCGGAUAUUGAACAGUCUCCUGAAGCUCCAUCUUGACCUUCUCAAGACCUCCAAUAUCCUCCCAUCUAAAAUUGGGAAUUUCCACAAUGGUCUCACAAAGAGCAGAAGGAUUGCUGGUUCCGAGAGCAAUGUUGAAAUGGUCAUUUGUAACAGCCAUGGAAUUAAGAAUCUCAGCAUCAAUGGUAUCUCUUCCAAAUCAAUGAUGUUCCUCUUUUCCCUAAUGCAUUGUAGGGCAGAUUCACUACAAAGAGACGCAAGAUCUGCCCCAAUAUACCCCUGAGUUCCCUUUGACUAGUUUUUCCAAGUCGACAUCUUCAGAGAGCUUCAUCUUCUUUGUAUGGACACGAAGAACCUCAAGGCGACCAGCUUCAUCUGGAACACCAAUAUCUAUUUCUCUGUCAAACCUCCUCAAUGCAGGGUCUAGACCGUUAGGCCUGUUUGUAGCUCCUAUCACAAUAACAUGGGCACGGGCCUUUAGCCCAUCCAUGAGAGUCGGUAGUUGUGAAACGAUUCUUCUUUCUAUUCGCCACCAGUUUUCUCACGUUUGGGAGCAAUUGAAUCAAUCUCAUCAAUAAAUAUAAUUGCCGGGGCAUUCUUUUCAGCUUCUUCAAAAGCUUUUCUGAGAUUUUGCUCACUCUCUCCUGCCAUCCUGGACAUGAUUUCUGGUCCGUUGAUACAAAAGAAGAAAGCCCCAGUUUCAUUAGCAAUAGCCCUCGCUAUCAAUAUUGUUUUACCAGUUCCAGGAGGACCAUAAAGCAGAAUUCCUUUCUGUGGCUUCACACCAAUGGUCUUGAAAAGUUGAGGAAACCUUAAUGGCAGUUCAACCAUUUCCCUGAUCAGUGCCAAUUGUUUCCUAGCACCACCAUUAUCAUCGUAGCGAAAUCGAUCAAGACUUUCCUCAUCUACCCUCUUUACAGCUUCCCCUUCACAGAAGAUCUCUGUAUCAGGCGCAACCACACAGUACUAAGCAGGAUCCGUCUCAAUGACCUUAAGCUCCACACUCUUCAUUCCUGCUCUGAUGAGGUAAUGAUCUCCUUUCCUGACUGGACGAGAAGAAUCCUUGAAGUAAGGCUUCAGGUAGGCAUCAAACAGCCUACCAUUAAGGCCUUCAACUGUGUCAUCCAAAGGCAGAAUAUGAACCCUCUUGCCAUACCGCAAAUUCGGACAUACCUGCACCGAAACCAUAUCACCAAGCCUGACCCUUAAGUUUGACCUCACAAUCUUAUUCAUCAAAAUCUUGGACUGAUCGCAGCUAUCAUACUAUAAAUAAAAUAUAAAUAUAUAAGUUUUUUAUUUGAUAAAUAAUAAACAUACUAUAGAUAUAAUAGAAACUCAACCCCUAAAUACUAAUAGCUAUAGCUCGAUAGCAGACUCCAAUUAUGUGGAAUUAGAAAGUCCGGCCAUUACAUAUAUAUGGCAGUCCAUUAUAUUUUGAUAACAAGGCAUGAUGAAAAAAAAAAACUAUUAGGGUGUGCUGUCAUCAAUGAGCAAUUGUCAUCUUACGGAGUUGAAAUUCUAUAUAUUUUAAAAAUAAGAUUCCGUACCCCCUUCGGAAUGGAAGCAGGCUGCUACCUGGAUAAGAGGUUCAGAAUACAUUGCAACUCCAACAUGACUCCGAGGCUUUCUAUGAAUAGAAUCAAUCUAGAGGUGUUGAACAUCUCUUUUAUUGAACCCAUAAAAAGUGUUUUUUUAGGGUGUUUUUACACCCAUUAAAUCUAGAUUUAUCACUUCUAUUUUAAAAAAAUUAAAUACAUACCUCUCACAUCAGUUUAUUACAUUUAAAAAAAGUUUAAUAUGAUCAUGGCUUUUCUAUUAUCUUCACUCUUCGGGACCCGAUAUUUUAGUCCAUUUCAUUAAAGAAUUGCCAUUGCUCGAGCUUUAAAUAAGGAAGGCUGGGCUUAUGCUACUCGAUGAAGCAACAAGAGCACUAGAUGCUGAGUCUGAGAGGUCUGUCCAGGAAGCCCUGGAUCGUGCCUGCUCAGGAAAGACCACAAUUGUUGUUGCACACCGGCUAUCAACUAUAAGAAAUGCUCAUGUCAUUGCUGUGAUUGAUGAUGGUAAAGUAGCAGAGCAAGGAUUCCACUCGCAUCUAUUGAAAAAUUAUCCUGAUGGGAGCUAUGCCCGCAUGAUACAGUUACAAAUUAAGGUUCACACAUAGCGAAGUCAUUGGAAUGACCUCAGGUUCAAGUUCACAGAGCAAGGAUCCCUUGUGCAUGUGGUUUGUCGCACCUGCUUUCACAAAAAGAUGCCCAAUGUCGGAAGAUAAUUGGGAGAAACGUGUCCAGGCAUUCCCUGCAUUUUUCAUGUACGAUUAGGAAAUGUGCUCCCAUCACAAAAAGGAAUCCUGAUCAUAUUUGCAGCAAUGAUCGAGGGCUUGUGCAAUUAGGCUACAAGGGUUAUCAUGCAUGCCAGGAUUCCACUACUUUCCGACUUACUGAUGGAAAAAGAUGGGACCCAAUGGCAAUGGAUGUAGACCUGAAUACUAAUGACGUGUUGGACAAUUAUGCAUCACAAUCCAAACUUUGAGGCGAUCAUAUUCCUGGCGAUUCGAAAUCAUCCAAUCUUGAGCUUAAUAGGAUGCGUAUCUAUUUAUGAUUUGGUUUGUGGGGAAGGAAAUUAUUGAGUGUCAAAGUUCACAUGCAUGGUGGUUGGUUGCACAUGUGUGUCAUUUGAGUGUCCAAGGACAAGUACUACCCAAAGAGGGGACCUCGUUGAAAUCAAUAGACCACGCUCCUUCGACCAUUAAUUAGUAGAAGCUGGUGGUGAUGGUGGUGGUGGACAAGCGGGAGACAAAAGUUUAGGAUAUGGCAUUUGGAAAAUGACAGCAAGGGAGAUGAUAAGAGAGUUAGAUCAUGGCCUCAUGGGAUGCUCUGUCCUUGUGUUCAUUUCGCGGGCCAUACCCAAUCUCUUUCCAUUAAAGAAAUACAAGGACGUUAGCCUGCACAGAUGGGCUUUAAUGGCGCUCUUGUUUUCAAGUGCUCAAGAGCAUUAUGCUUUUGGAGGGACACUGGAUGAUGACUCUCUGUUAACAAGUAACGACUUCAACAGCUGUUUCAAAUUACGGGCAACUAGAACACACAAUUACAAAAAAAAGGAGGAAAGUGCUACAAGUCUAAAACCAAUACCACAAGCAUAUUUAAGUUUGACAUACAAACACAAAAUUAAGACAUGUAGUAAAUAAUUUCAAUAUGUAUGUAAGAGUGGUUUUUCAUCUAGUGAUGAAGGAGCACCAAUAUCGAAGCUGGAAAUUGUUGAGGCGGAAGUAACAUCCCAAGGUGCUCCCAUCACUUCAGUUCUGUCAUAUUCAUUCUCUUGUUGGACGAUCAAGUUUUCGGAUUUUUUAAGCCUCUCCAACACCAUUGUGACUUCUUUCAUCGGAGGCCUUUCUUUCCCAUUUAACCUCAAGCAGCUCCUAGCCAAGCUAGCAACCAUCAACACAUCCUCUCUUUCCCCUUGCUUCACAACCUGAGGAUCAAGAAUAUCAAACAGGCAGUUGCUCUCCAUGGCCAUUAUGAAAUAUGUGGCUAAACUUCUGCCUUGUUCUUCUGAUCUUGUGAACGAGAUUGCCUUCUGCCCAGUAAGUAGCUCAACAAGAACCACACCAAAGCUAUAGACAUCACUCUUGUCUGUGAAUUGGCUUGAUUGGAAGUACUCUGGAUCCAAGUACCCAAAGGUGCCUUGUACUAGAGUUGUGACAUGAGUCUGGUCGAUGCUUACGGACCUUGAAGUCCCAAAAUCUGCAACUUUGGCUCUAUACUUCUCAUCAAGCAGGAUGUUUGUAGACUUGAUGUCUCUAUGAAAAAUGGGGAGGGAGGCUGCUGAAUGUAGAUAGAAAAGUGCCCCUGCUACCUCUGCUGCAAUCCUUAAGCGCAUUUCCCAAGUUGAAGGGAAUUCCUCGAUAGGGUCAUGGAUAAACUGGAAAAGGGUCCCAUUAGGAAUGAAUUCAUAGACUAACAAUGGAAGUUCAGUCUCUAAACAACAACCCAGAAGCUUAACCACAUUUCUAUGGUUAAUUUGGGAUAGAAGGACGACCUCGUUGAUAAAUUGUCUGAGAUUCCCUUCAUCGAUUACUUUGGAUUUCUUGACUGCAACGAUUUUUCCAUCCGCCAACAUCCCUUUGUAAACUGUUCCUUGGCCUCCCUGGCCCAGCGUUCUAUUCACAUUGUAAUGAUCAGUGGCCUUGUCUAAUUCUUUCUAAGGAAACAUUUUGAUUUUCUCAACAUUGACUUCACCUGAAGAUAGUUGUUCUUGCAGUAAAAGACCACCAUUCCUCUUAAAGUACUUUUUCUUUAGUUUUUCACUCCUCUUUCUCUUGAAUACUUUGUACAACCACCAUAAACCAAUGAGUAGAAAAAGUGCUCCAAAUCCCACUCCAACACCUGCACAAGUCAACCAAUUGCAUUCAAUUCUUUUUUUAGAGCUGAACUCAGAAAAACAAAUUCUGUAUGUUUGCUUGAGUAACGGUGCAGUAUCCGCAAUUAUUUGAUGCUGCUGGGAUAGGAUUGGUGAUUUUGGGCUGGUACAGCUGCAGCAAGUCUAGAUUUUAUCCCUAACUUCCAUUUUGCAGAUUGUUUUUACUACUUAUCCAGGCAGCAGAGAACAUCAAUUGAAUUUCCUUCUUAUUCCUUCCUCUAGCUCAUUGUUUUUCCUGUACCGCUUUGAUCAGUGGAGGAUCUUGCAUAAAAUUUCCAUCAAUUCUACAUUGUUAAGCGCAGUGUUGUAGUUUGUCUCCAUAUUCUACUUUAUUCAUGUCAGUUUUGAAAGGAGAAUUUGAUUCUUAAAAAACAGUAAGUUAAAUUUUAAUUUCUUUUUAUAAUUUUGAUUGUCUGCUUUACUAAGUGUACAAAUCUUAUUUUUAAUCUUAUGUGAAGAAAAAAAUUAUUACAAGCAUAUUUCAAGAGAGUGUACUUUUUUACUUGAAACUAAUUAUUCAUACAUUUUUUUCAAGAAAGCAUUAUUCAUACUUGGGAAAGAAGAAAAUUGUGUAACAACGAUCUAAUUACAAAUAAAAUUUGAUUGAAAAGAAGGGCACAAAAUUGAAUACUUUAGAAGGCUAAAUUGUACGAUCAAUCUCCCUGAGUAAUUGGUUAAAAUGGCAUCAACAAAAAAAUUUCAUGUCAUUGCUUCUUGAAUGAAUUGAUUGAUUUUAUUUAAUCUUAAUGACAAAUUAUAGUACUGACAUAUAUCAUAAUUUUACAUAUGAAAUAUUUAAAACUAGAGUGAUAGAUACAAGAAAUUUUAUGGUAUUUAUAAAAUAAUUAGUGGCAUAUAUAAAAAAAUUCAUAAGUGAAAAUAUUUUUAGUAUUUUAAUAGUUCAUGAAUUUUGUUUUUAUUUUUCUUCGUAUAUCUGUUUUUUUUUUCAAAGUGAAUAUUAAAAAAUAAUUAAUUGAAUAUUAUAAGUAAUUAUUUUUUUGUAUUAUAAAAUUUGUCGCAUAUAUACACGUGUCACAUGAUAAUUAAUUAAUUAAUACUAGUUAUAGGAGCAUAAACGUAUAUACUACUUGAAAAAAAAGAAAAAUAAAAAUCGUAAGGGAGGCUGCUGUCUUCUCCGAUCUCUCUUAGAGGAUCCACCAUUGAAUCUGAUUUUUCUUCGAGCUUAUAAAAUCGUCAAUUAUGACAUUUGUAGCACUAUCAUGAGACAAGUCAACAACACAGUUUUCCUCUAAUCAAACAUUACAUUGGCAGUCAAUUGUUUUCUUGACCCGUUUAAAGUGUGACAUAAUCUAUAGUCAUUUCUAUCAUGAUGAUAUAGAGUGAAAAUGCAACAUACCUAUGCCUGCCAUUUUAGCUUUGAUUUUACGCCGGUAAUUGUCGUAUGCUCUACCCGCUGCAACACAUGAAGAAACCACAGAGUUGAUGGAUCAGUGAACCAUACAAUGGUAAACCAUGCCAGAAGAAUCUAUAGAGUAGGAAUUGUAACCAGGAGUUUACCUUGACAACUACCAUAAAGAUAAGGAUUUCCUACGAAGCCUGGAUAGCAAGAGCAUUGAACGGUGGAGCUCUGGUCCGUUGAAUUAAUGGAAGAAUUCACCUUCUUACACCAAGAAGUAUAAGUUGAAUGAUAUAAUGAUCCAUUCUUAACAAGUGAUACAAAUACCGUUUCGUCUAUCCCCCAAUCCAGCACUACGGGAACAGAGUCCCUAUGUCUCAUGUCAUAAGGGUCGUAGUUCCCUCCGACAGAAUAAUACCUCCAGGAUUCGAUCCAACUUUGAUAAAUUAAAUAGGCAUACCUGCAUUGCUUUUCCCCACUGCUUCCUUUUCCAUCAUCUAACCCCUUCAUGGUUACAUUAAGAACCUUGAGAAAUGAAGGAAUCCUGGUCUGGCAACAGUCGAUCCCACUGCAGCUGGCCAUCAUGCUAUCACGGUUUUUGUCACAAAUUGACACACACCCACCAAUAGUAGAUUGGUUUUGGGUCAUCAAGGCAAGAUUGUCACAACCCCUUGCAAUGAAGUAAUUCUCGGAGGAGAAAACAAAAGGGCUUCCUUCCAAGUCAACAACUGUGUUUCUAUCUUUGC